This 48405-nucleotide long non-coding RNA is filed under the name Triticum aestivum (bread wheat). Its description in RNAcentral is "long non-coding RNA (TAES_LNC008306)". The record is from RNAcentral. Lineage: Eukaryota; Viridiplantae; Streptophyta; Magnoliopsida; Poales; Poaceae.
UGGGCUUUACCAACAGACAGUAAGUCAUGCGUGCGUGAAUCCACGACGUACAUACAGUAUCCGGAAACGGCCUGCGCUAUUGCAAAACACUAGAUAUGUCCACAUGAUAGUAUAAUAUGAACAUGCACCCGAUAGUGGGAUGUAUUUUCCCUAAUGUACACGCUAUACAUUUGCUUGUAACAAAAGCAUAAAGAACAUCAGUUCUCGGACAUCGUCACAAGUUGUGUAUUGCUUAACGCACUGCAAACGCGUGAGAGGUACCUGUAAAAUGCUCAAUCGACCCUAUCAGCGGCUUGGAGGCACCAAAAUCCCGUAGCCUAUAAACACCAGGGACAACAUCUUCAGGAAUGGUCCACUCCAGCGUCGCAAAGCUCUCCGGACUGAGUUUCAAAGGCCUCGACCACUUGAAUCGCAAAGACCAAUCAUCAUCGUCGUAGCCAGGAAUCCAGUUGUCACCAUUCAGCCUCUCAACGAGCGCGAAGGUACCGUCUGUUAGAAGAUCAUUCCUUGGACAGGCCGUAUGGAACGUAGCAUUCACGGUACUGCCCUUCCGAAAGUCUGAGUUUGCUGUGAUGUCGGAGCUGACAUCCCCAAAGUGAACACCAGGAGGAGUCGAGUCGAGAAUGACGCCUAAUAGCAGUCCAAUUUGCUUGUCCAACAUGUCAGGAGGUAGGGUGUUUGUUUGGUGGGAUCCUUUGUUUGCAACCAUAGGGUCCAUAGCCGUGGCAAUUUUCUGAAACUCUUGAAUGUAUGCACUCAAGGUUUGGGGACCGUACAAUGUCGACGCACCCUGCAAAACACAUAUUCACUCCAAUGAAUCAUUCAUGCAUUUUAUAUGUUUGAUGGAACAAUAACUGGAAAUUCAGGUCACCGAGAUAUCAGAUCUUUAGCCAACUGCCAUAAUUAUGGAACGUUUAUACCAAAAAACCAAAUGGAAUAUAUUUAGGGGGGAGGGGGGAUACCGAAGCAAAAAAUCACAUACCUGUUAAACAUCAAUAUUGAGCAUGUACGUGUUAAACAUCCUUGGGCGUGUCAUUGGGCGCAUUGUAACGUAUCUUAGCAGGAGUCCUUCGGUUGUAGGCUAGGAGGUUUAUCUUCUGUAACCAUAACCCUAUCUCUUCCUAGCUUGAUCUCCAAGUUGUAACCUCUCCUAUAAGCUCUCAAUUGUAUGCGUUAUCAGUGACUCGCGCCCCUGCCUAUAACAUGCACGGCGUCCCCUCUCAAUGAGGUAAGACGCUUUCCGCUUCGCACAUGGUAGUCAGAGCCUUUCCUUUUCCCAUCUAGAGCUUCUGUCAACCCAUCUAGCCUAGCCAUGUCUUCCUCCGGCUCCUUCUCGCCUAGUCUCAAUAGUCAGCUUACAGAGAAGUUGUCUCGCACGAAUUACGUGUUGUGGCGCACGCAGAUCACACCUCAGCUGCACGGUGCCGGUGUCUUUGGCUAUGUCGACGGCACCGACCCGGAGCCGGCCAAGCUCCUCGUCACCACCAAGGAUGGCAAGGAGACUUCAUUGCCCAACCCUCUCCACCCUAUAUCGGUACGUGAGGAUCAGCAGGUCCUUGGCUACCUGCUGGAUAACCUCACAAAAGAGGUCCUCGUCACGGUGACCACGCUCACCACGGUGGGCGCGCUCUGGACGAUGCUUGCUGCCAUGCUCUCGUCAAAAUCGGCGAGUCGCAUCAACAACAUCCGCACCUCCCUCAUCAAUGCGCAGAAGGGUAACCUCUCGGUUGCCUCCUACUUCGCCGUCAUGCGUGGCUAUGCCGAUGAGCUGGCCGCGGCGGGCAAAGCUAUCCAGGAUGAUGAGCUUGUCUUGUACAUCAUUCAUGGGCUGGAGGCGGACUAUCAACCUCUGGUGUCUGCUCUCGACGCCCGUGUCACACCUGUGACCCUCGAUGAGCUCUUCGCCAUGCUGUCCAACUUCGACCAGCGCAUGGCCUAGUACCACGGCUCCGGCGGCUUCAAGUCUUCUACCAACAUGGCGUCUCGCGGCCGGGGCGGUGGAUCCCGCUCGCGUGGCUCUCCCCGCUAUAAGGGGCGAUCUGGUGGCGGCGGCGGGAACGACCGUGGCCUGAUACGUCUCCAAUGUAUCUAUAAUUUUUGAUUGUUCCAUGCUAUUAUAUUAUCUGUUUUGGAUGUUCAAUGGACUUUAUUAUACACUUUUAUAUUAUUUUUGGGACUAACCUAUUAACCGGAGGCCCAGCCCAAAUUGCUGUUUUUUUUUGCCUAUUUUAGUGUUUCGAAGGAAAGGAAUAUCAAACGGAGUCCAAACGGAAUGAAACCUUCGGGAACGUGAUUUUCUGAACAAACGUGAUCCAGAGGACUUGGAGUGGACGCCAAGCAAUCAACGAGGAGGCCACGAGGCAGGGGGCGCGCCUACCCCCUGGGCAUGUCAUCCACCCUCGUGGGCCCCUUGUAGCUCCACCGACCUACUUCUUCCUCCUAUAUAUACCUACGUACCCCGAAAACAUCAGCAGAGAAGCCAAAACCCUAUUUCCACCGCCGCAACCUUCUGUACCCGUGAGAUCCCAUCUUGGGGCCUUUUCCGGCGCUCCGCUGGAGGGGGCAUCGAUCACGGAAGGCUUCUACAUCAACACCAUAGCCUCUCCGAUGAUGUGUGAGUAGUUUACUUCAGACCUUCGGGUCCAUAGUUAUUAGCUGGAUGGCUUCUUCUCUCUCUUUGGAUCUCAAUACAAAGUUCUCCUCGAUUCUCUUGGAGAUCUAUUCGAUGUAAUCUUCUUUUGCGGUGUGUUUGUCGAGAUCCGAUGAAUUGUGGGUUUAUGAUCAAGAUUAUCUAUGAACAAUAUUUGAAUCUCCUCUGAAUUCUUUUAUGUAUGAUUGGUUAUCUUUGCAAGUCUCUUCGAAUUAUCAGUUUGGUUUGGCCUACUAGAUUUAUCUUUCUUGCAAUGGGAGCAGUGCUUAGCUUUGGGUUCAAUCUUGCGGUGCUCGAUCCCAGUGACAGUAGGGGAAACGACACGUAUUGUAUUGUUGCCAUUGAGGAUAAAAAGAUGGGGUUUAUUCGUGUGGAGUAAUAGUUGUAGAUGCAGGCAGGAGUCGGUCUACUUGUCACGGACGUGAUGCCCAUAUACAUGAUCAUACCUAGAUAUUCUCAUAACUAUGCUCAAUUCUAUCAAUUGCUCGACAGUAAUUUGUUCACCCACCGUAAUACUUAUGCUCUUGAGAGAAGACACUAGUGAAACCUAUGGCCCCCGGGUCUAUGCUCUAUCAUAUUAAUCUACUAUUAUUUCUAUUACCGUUUAUUUUGCUUUCUUUACUUUUAGUCUUUAUUAUAAAAAUACCAAAAAUAUUAUCUUAUCAUCUCUAUCAGAUCUCACUUUUGCAAGUGGCCGUGAAGGGAUUGACAACCCCUUUAUCGCGUUGGUUGCAAGGUUCUUAUUUGUUUGUGUAGGUGCGUGGGACUUGAGCGUGGUCUCCUACUAGAUUGAUACCUUGGUUCUCAAAAACUGAGGGAAAUACUCACGCUACUUUACUGCAUCACCCUUUCCUCUUCAAGGGAAAACCAACGCAGUGCUCAAGAGGUAGCAAGAAGGAUUUCUGGCGCCGUUGCGGAGGAGUCUACGCACAAGUCAAGACAUACCAAGUACCCAUCACAAACUCUUAUCCCUCGCAUUACAUUAUUUGCCAUUUGCCUCUCGUUUUCCUCUCCCCCACUUCACCCUUGCCGUUUUAUUCGCCUUCUUUUCCGUUUGCCUCUUUUUGCUUGUCUCUUGUUUCUUGUUGCCUUUAUGGCCCUGCCUAGAUUUGGUGAUCUUCACGUUAAAAGGUUGGAAGAGAUUGAAAGCAACGUCAGAAGCUUUAUGACUUGACAAUUUGAGCAUAAUAAUUUCUUUAGAAAUGAGCUUAAGGAACAAAAAGGCUUUAUGGAGUACAUGAAUAAAGAGCUUGAUGACAUGUCUAAGGAAUUUUAUGGUUUGAAAUCUCAGAUUGCUCAUCUUUAAAAAUUAAUAGCCGAAAUUUCGGAUAAGCAGGUCACCUUAGUUAAUAAGAUGGCCGCUAAACCGGAAAGUUUUUAUGAAAAUAAAGAUGAAGAUCUAAAAGUUAUUGAUGUGUCUCCUAUUAAAUAUUUGUUUUGCAAUAUGAAUCUUGGUAAUGAUGGGACUGGAGAUGAGUCAACUUUAGUUAAAAGGCGUCCCAAUAAUUCGGAGUUUUUAGAUCAUGAUGCAAAAAUUGGUAAAAGUGGGAUUGAAGAGGUUAAAACUUUACAUAGCAAUGAACCCACUAUCUUGGAUUUCAAGGAAUUUAAUUAUGAUAAUUGCUCUUUGAUAGAUUGUAUUUCCUUGUUGCAAUCCGUGAUAAAUUCUCCUCAUGCUUAUAGUCAAAAUAAAGCCUUUACUAAACAUAUCGUUGAUGCUUUGAUGCAAUCUUAUGAAGAAAAACUUGAGUUGGAAGUUUCUAUCCCUAGAAAACUUUAUGAUGAGUGGGAACCUACAAUUAAAAUUAAAAUUAAAGAUCAUGAAUGCUAUGCUUUGUGUGAUUUGGGUGCUAGUGUUUCCACGAUCCCAAAAACUUUGUGUGAUUUGCUAGGUUUCCGUGAAUUUGAUGAUUGUUCUUUAAACUUGCAUCUUGCGGAUUCCACUAUCAAGAAACCUAUGGGAAGAAUUAAUGAUGUUCUUAUUGUUGUAAAUAGGAACUAUGUCCCCGUAGAUUUUAUUGUUCUUGAUAUAGAUUGCAAUCCUUUAUGUCCUAUUAUUCUUGGUAGACCUUUCCUUAGAACGAUUGGUGCAAUUAUUGAUAUGAAGGAAGGGAAUAUUAGAUUCCAAUUUCCGUUAAGGAAAGGCAUGGAACACUUCCCUAGAAAUAAGAUUAAAUUACCUUAUGAAUCUAUUAUGAGAGCCACUUAUGGAUUGCCUACCAAAGAUGGCAAUACCUAGAUAUAUCCUUACUUUUAUGCCUAGCUAGGGGCGUUAAACGAUAGCGCUUGUUGGGAGGCAACCCAAUUUUAUUUUAGUUCCUUGAUUUUUGUUCCUGUUUAGUAAUAAAUCUUUGAUCUAGCCUCUGGUUAGAUGUGUUUUUAUGUUUUAAUUAGUGUUUGUGCCAAGUGAAACCUAUAGGAUCUUCUUGGAUGAUAGUUAUUUGAUCUUGCUGAAAAUUCCAGAAACUUUCUGUUCACAAAAACAAUUGUUUAAAAUCACCAGAACGUGAUAAAAUACUGAUUCCCAUUGCAGUAGAUCAAUAAACAAAUUAUCUAGGUCUUCCUAUUUUGGUAGAUUUUUCUGAGUUCCAGAAGUUUGCGUUAGAUACAGAUUACUGCAGACUGUUCUGUUUUUGACAGAUUCUGUUUUUCGUGUGCUGUUUUCUUAUUUUGAUGAAUCUAUGGCUAGUAAAAGAGCUUAUAAACCAUAGAGAAGUUGGAAUACAGUGGGUUUAACACCAAUAUAAAUAAAGAAUGAGUUCAUUACAGUACCUUGAAGUGGUGUUUUGUUUUCUUUCGCUAACGGAGCUCACGAGAUUUUCUGUUAAGUUUUGUGUUGUGAAGUUUUCAAGUUUUGGGUAAAGAUUUGAUGGAUUAUGGAACAAGGAUUGGCAAGAGCCUAAGCUUGGGGAUUCCCAAGGCACCCCAAGGUAAAAUUCAAGUACAACCAAAAUCCUGAGCUUGGGGAUGCCCCGGAAGGCAUCCCCUCUUUCGUCUUCGUCUAUCAGUAACUUUACUUAGGGCUAUAUUUUUAUUCACCACAUGAUAUGUGUUUUUCUUGGAGCGUCUUGUAUGAUUUGAGUCUUUGCUUUUUAGUUUACCACAAACAUCCUUGCUGUACACACCUUUUGAGAGAGACACACAUGAUUCAGAAUUUGUUAGAAUACUCUAUGUGCUUCACUUAUAUCUUUUGAGCUAUAUAGUUUUUGCUCUAGUGCUUCACUUAUAUCUUUUAGAGCACGGUGCUGGUUUUAUUUUAUAGAAAUUAUUGAUCUCUCAUGCUUCACUUAUGUUAUUUUGAGAGUCUUAAACAGCAUGGUAAUUUGCUUUAUUUGUGAAAUUAAUCCGAAUGUGAUAGGGAUGAGCAUAAUAAAAACUUCCAUAUUGAGUUCAUUGAAUAUCAUGAGAAGUUUGAUACUUGAUAAGUGUUUUGAGAUAUAAAGGUGGUAAUAUUAGAGUGUGCUAGUUGAGUAAUUGUGAAAUUGAGAAAUACUUGUGUUAAGGUUGGCAAGUCCCGUAGCAUGCACGUAUGGUGAAAGUUGUGCGACAAUUUUUACACAUAAGGUGUUCUUUUAUUGCUUUCCUUAUGAGUGGCGGUCGGGGACGAGCGAUGGUCUUUUCCUACCAAUCUAUCCCUCUAGGGGCAUGCGUAGUAGUACUUUGCUUCAAGGGCUAAUAAACUUUUGCAAUAAGUAUAUGAGUUCUUUAUGACUAAUGUGAGUCCAUGGAUUAUACGCACUCUCAACCUUCCACAAUUUUCUAGCCUCUAUGGUACCGUGCAUUGCCCUUUCUCGCCUUGAGAGUUGGUGCAAACUUUGAAGGAAAUAUGCCCUAGAGGCAAUAAUAAAGUUAUUAUUUAUUUCCUUAUAUCAUGAUAAAUGUUUAUUAUUCAUGCUAGAAUUGUAUUAACCGGAAACAUAAUACAUGUGUGAAUACAUAGACAAACAGAGUGUCACUAGUAUGCCUCUACUUGACUAGCUCGUUGAUCAAAGAUGGUUAUGUUUCCUAGCCAUAGACAUGAGUUGUCAUUUGAUUAACGGGAUCACAUCAUUAGGAGAAUGAUGUGAUUGACUUGACCCAUUCCGUUAGCUUAGCACUCGAUCGUUUAGUAUGUUGCUAUUGCUUUCUUCAUGACUUAUACAUGUUCCUAUGACUAUGAGAUUAUGCAACUCCCGUUUACCGGAGGAACACUUUGUGUGCUACCAAACUUCACAACAUAACUGGGUGAUUAUAAAGGUGCUCUACAGGUGUCUCCGAAGGUACUUGUUGGGUUGGCGUAUUUCGAGAUUAGGAUUUGUCACUCCGAUUGUCGGAGAGGUAUCUCUGGGCCCUCUCGGUAAUGCACAUCACUCAAGCCUUGCAAGCAUUGCAACUAAUGAGUUAGUUGUGGGAUGAUGUAUUACGAAACGAGUAAAGAGACUUGCCGGUAACGAGAUUGAACUAGGUAUUGAGAUACCGACGAUCGAAUCUCGGGCAAGUAACAUACCGAUGACAAAGGGAACAACGUAUGUUGUUAUGCGGUCUGGCCGAUAAAGAUCUUCGUAGAAUAUGUGGGAGCCAAUAUGAGCAUCCAGGUUCCGCUAUUGGUUAUUGACCGGAGACGUGUCUCAGUCAUGUCUACAUAGUUCUCGAACCCGUAGGGUCCGCACGCUUAACGUUUCGAUGACAGUUAUAUUAUGACUUUAUAUGUUUUGAUGUACCGAAGGUUGUUUGGAGUCCCGGAUUUGAUCACGGACACGACGAGGAGUCUCGAAAUGGUCGAGACAUGAAGAUUGAUAUAUUGGAAGCCUAUAUUUGGAUAUCGGAAGUGUUCCGGGUGAAAUCGGGAUUUUACCGGAGUACUGAGGGGUUACCGGAACCCCCCGGGGGCUUAAUGGGCCAUAGUGGGCCUUUGUGGAGAAGAGGAGAGGCGGCCAGGGCAGGGCCGCGCGCCCCUCCCCCUAGUCCGAAUAGGACAAGAAGAGGGGGGCGGCGCCCCCCCCUUUCCUUCCUCUCUCCCUCCUCUUUCCCCUCCACUCCUAAUCCAACUAGGAAAAGGGAGGGAGUCCUACUCCCGGUGGGAGUAGGACUCCACCUGGCGCGCCCCUCCUGGCCGGCCGCACCUCCCCCCUUGCUCCUUUAUAUACGGGGGCAGGGGGCACCCUAGAGACACAACAAUUGAUCGUUUGAUCUUUUAGCCGUGUGCGGUGCCCCCCUCCACCAUAGUCCACCUCGAUAAUACUGUAGCGGUGCUUAGGCGAAGCCCUGCGUCGGUAGAACAUCAUCAUCGUCACCACAUCGUCGUGCUGACGAAACUCUCCCUCAACAGUCGGCUGGAUCGGAGUUCGAGGGAUGUCAUCGGGCUCAACGUGUGCUGAACUCGGAGGUGUCGUGCGUUCGGUACUUGAUCGGUCGGAUCGUGAAGACGUACGACUACAUCAACCGCGUUGUGCUAACGCUUCCGCUUUCGGUCUACGAGGGUACGUGGACAACACUCUGCCCUCUCGUUGCUAUGCAUCACCAUGAUCCUGCGCGUGCGUAGGAAUUUUUUUGAAAUUACUGCGUUCCCCAACAAACUUCGUCGGUGCAUCCAAACCCCGUGAUAUGAUACGUCUAUCACACAUAAACCUCCUUAUAUCUUCCUCAAAGCAGCCACCAUACCUACCUAUCAUGGCAUUUCCAUAGCCAUUCCGAGAUAUAUUGCCAUGCAGCUUACCACCGUUCUGUUUAUUAUGACACGCUCCAUCAUUGUCAUAUUGCUUUGCAUGAUCAUGUAGUUGACAUCGUAUUCGUGGCAAAGCCACCUUUCAUAAUUUUUUAUACAUGUCACUCUUGAUUCAUUGCAUAUCCCGGUACACCGCCGGAGGCAUUCACAUAGAGUCAUAUUUUGUUCUAAGAGUUGAGUUGUAAUUCUUGAGUUGUAAGUAAUAAAAGUGUGAUGAUCAUCAUUAUUAGAGCAUUGUCCCAUGUGAGGAAAGGAUGAUGGAGACUAUUAUUCCCCCACAAGUCGGGAUGAGAUUCUGGACUAAAAAAAAGGAGGCCAAAGAAAAAAAAGGCCCAACAAAAAAAGGAGAAAAAGAAAAAAUAAAAAAUGAGAGAAAAAGAGAGAAGGGACAAUGUUACUAUCCCUUUUCCACACUUGUGCUUCAAAGUAGCACCGUGAUCUUCAUGAUAGAGAGUCUCCUAUGUUGUCACUUUCAUAUACUAGUGGGAAUUUUUCAUUAUAGAACUUGGCUUGUAUAUUCCAAUGAUGGCCUUCCUCAAAAUGCCCUAGGUCUUCGUGAGCAAGCAAGUUGGAUGCACACCCACUUAGUUUCUUUUGUUGAGCUUUCAUAUAUUUAUAGCUCUAAUGCAUCUGUCGCAUGGUGAUCCCUACUCCUCUCAUUGACAUCAAUCGAUGGGCAUCUCCAUAGCCUAUUGAUUAGCCGCGUCAGUGUGAGACUUUCUACCUUUUUGUCUUCUCACAUAACCCCCAUCAUUAUACUUUAUUCCACCCAUAGGGCUAUAUCCAUGACUUGCGCUCAUGUAUUGAGUAAGGGUUGAAAAGGCUGAAGCGCGUUAAAAAUUAUGAACCAAUUGAUCGGCUUGUCAUCGGGGUUAUGCAUGAUGAGAAUGUUUUGUGUGACGAAAUUGAAGCAUGGCCUAACUAUAUGAUUUUGUAGGGAUGAGCUUUCUUUGGCUAUGUUAUUUUGAUAAGACAUAAUUGCUUGGUUAGCAUGUUUGAAGUAUUAUUGUUUUUAUGUCAACAUUAAACUUUUAUCUUGAAUCUUUCGGAUCUAAAUAUUCAUGCCACAAUAAAAAGAAUUACAUUGAAAAUUAUGCUAAGAAGCAUUCCACAUCAAAAAUUCUGUUUUUUUUAUCAUUUACCUACUCGAGACCGAGCAGGAAUUAAGCUUGGGGAUGCUUGAUACGUCUCCAACGUAUCUGUAAUAUUUGAUUGUUCCAUGCUAUUAUAUUAUCUGUUUUGGAUGUUCAAUGGGCUUUAUUAUACACUUCUAUAUUAUUUUUGGGACUAACCUAUUAACCGAAGGCCCAUCCCAAUUGUUGUUUUUUGCCUAUUUCAGUGUUUCGAAGGAAAGGAAUAUCAAACGGGGUCCAAACGAAAUGAAACCUUCGGGAACGUGAUUUUCUGAACAAACGUGAUCCAGAGGACUUGGAGUGGACUUCAAGCAAUCAACGAGGAAGCCACGAGGCAGGGGGCGCGCCUACCCCCCCUGGGCGCGCCCUCCACCCUCAUGGGCCCCUCGUAGCUCCACCGACCUACUUCUUCCUCCUGUAUAUACCUACAUACCCCGAAAACAUCAGCGGAGGAGCCAAAACCCUAUUUCCACCGCCGCAACCUUCUGUACCUGUGAGAUCCCAUCUUGGGGCCUUUUCCGGCGCUCCGCCGAAGAGGGCAUCGAUCACGGAGGGCUUCUACACCAACACCAUAGCCUCUCCGAUGAUGUGUGAGUAGUUUACUUCAGACCUUCGGGUCCAUAGUUAUUAGCUAGAUGCCUUCUUCUCUCUCUUUGGAUCUCAAUACAAAGUUCUCCUCGAUUCUCUUGGAGAUCUAUUUGAUGUAAUCUUCUUUUGCGGUGUGUUUGUCGAGAUCCAAUGAAUUGUGGGUUUAUGAUCAAGAUUAUCUAUGAACAAUAUUUGAAUCUCCUCUGAAUUCUUUUAUGGAUGAUCUAUUAUCUUUGCAAGUCUCUUCGAAUUAUCAGUUUGGUUUGGCCUACUAGAUUGAUCUUUCUUGCAAUGGGAGAAGUGCUUAGCUUUGGGUUCAAUCUUGCGGUGCUCGAUUCCAGUGACAGUAGGGGAAACGACACGUAUUGUAUUGUUGCCAUCGAGGAUAAAAAGAUGGGGUUUAUAUAAUAUUGCAUGAGUUUAUCCCUCUACAUCAUGUCAUCUUGCUUAAAGCGUUACUCCAUUCUUAUGAACUUAAUACUCUAGAUGCAUGCUGGAUAGCGGUCGAUGUGUGGAGUAAUAGUAGUAGAUGCAGGCAGGAGUCGGUCUACUUGUCACGGACAUGAUGCCUAUAUACAUGAUCAUACCUAGAUAUUCUCAUAACUAUGCUAAUUCCAUCAAUUGCUCGACAGUAAUUUGUUCACCCACCGUAAUACUUAUGCUCUUGAGAGAAGCCACUAGUGAAACCUAUGGCCCCGGGGUCUAUGCUCUAUCAUAUUAAUCUACGUUAUUUCUAUUACCAUUUAUUUUGCUUUCUUUACUUUUAGUCUUUAUCAUAAAAAUACCAAAAAUAUUAUCUUAUCAUCUCAAUCAGAUCUCACUUUUGCAAGUGGCCGUGAAGGGAUUGACAACCCCUUUAUCGCGUUGGUUGCAAGGUUCUUAUUUGUUUGUGUAGGUGCGUGGGACUUGAGCGUGGUCUCCUACUGGAUUGAUACCUUGGUUCUCAAAAACUGAGGGAAAUACUUACGCUACUUUACUGCAUCACCCUUUCCUCUCAAGGGAAAACCAAUGCAGUGCUCAAGAGGUAGCACGACCCCUAUCCUCAGCGCUCGGGUGGCCGAGGCCAUGGGCGCGGGCGUGGUGGCGGCAACGGAACGCGUUCGUAGACCCCAAGGUGCCAGAUCUGCGGGAAGCCCGGACACACAGCAAAAGAUUGCUGGUACCGGUAUGACGAUGAUGAUGAUUCUCAAGAUGAUGACAAGGUAGCUGCCGCCGCUGACGUUUCCUACGGUAUUGACACCAACUGGUACGUUGAUAGCGGGGCCACAAACCACAUCACGAAUGAGCUUGAGAAUGUAACCAUGAAGGAAAAAUACCACGGAAAAGAUCAAAUCCUUACUGCCAGCGGAGAAGGUAUGGGAAUAAGUCACAUUGGUCAUUCUAUAUUUCGUACCCCUAGUCGCAAACUACACAUUAAUAAAAUCUUGCAUGUCCCUAGUGCACACAAAAAUAUUCUUUCCGUCCAUAGAAUUCCCAUUGAUAAUCAUGUUUUCCUCGAAUUUCAUCCUUUUUUCUUUUUGAUCAAGGAUCAGGCAACGAGGAAAAUCCUCUAUCGAGGUAGAUGUGUUCGAGGGCUCUACCCGUUGAUUCCGGAGUUUAGAAGAUUCAAUAAACAAGCUUGUUGUGCUAUCAAGCUUUCGUCCACACGAUGGCACGAUCAUUUAGGACAUGCCUCUUUUUCUUUAGUUGAAAAGUUGCUUAGGAAAAAAAGCUCUCGUUUGUUGGUGAGCGUCAUGUUGAAACUAUUUGUGAUUCAUGUCAACGAGCUAAAAGUCAUCAAUUGACGUAUCCCAUCUCAACUAGUAUUUCUAACAAACCGUUGCAACUCAUUUUUUCUAAUGUUUGGGGUCUAGCCCCCACCUCUGUUGGUAGACAUACAUAUUACGUCAGUUUUUGAUGACCAUUGUAAAUUUUCGUGGAUCUAUCUCCUCAAAAAGAGAUCAGAUGUGUUUCAAGUUUUCCGAAACUUUCAAGCUCUUGUUGAACGCAAGUUUGAUAGCAAAAUUAUCGCUGUACAAUCCGAUUGGGGAGGGGAAUACGAAAAGCUAAAUUCCUUCUUCCAAAAGCUUGGCAUCUCUCACCACGUGUCAUGCCCGCAUGCUCACCAACAAAACGGUUCCGCUGAACGCAAGCACAAGCACAUUGUUGAGGUUGGCCUUGCCCUUUUGGCAGGUGCCUCCAUGCCUCUUAAGUUUUGGGACGAAGCGUUUCUCACAGCUGUUCACAUUAUCAACAUGCUACCCAGUCGAGUUGAAAGUGCAACUAUCCCUGGGUGGUUUUGGUAAUUACUAACAACAUAUAGCUCAUUGAACUAAUGCUAUUCAAAGAUGAUCAUUUCAGAAAGUUCAGUGAUUGGCAUGGCAUGGAUUAGGAAUGUGGACCCCUCAAAAUGCUAAGGACACAUAUUGGAUCAAGCUCAAGACUCUACAUUUUCAUUUUAGUGAUCCAAGAUCACAUUGAGUCCAUAGAAAAAUCCAAUACUAUUAAAAGGGGAUGAGGUGUUGCUUAAUGGCUUGCUUGCUCAAAAUGCUUAGUGAUAUGAUCCAAAAACCCUCAACCACUUUCUCAUAUCCACAUAUGUCCCAAACCAAAAGUCAAACUCGGCCCUACCGAUUUGAUCUAUCUGGUGCCACCGAGUUCAUUUGACAUAGCCACUGCCAGAAACCCUAGUCACUUUGGUCUCACUCAUAGGGAUCUCGGUCGCACCGAGAUGGGAUUACAAACUCUCGGUUUCCCUUCGUAACGUUUCGGUCUAAGCGAGAUGAGCGAUCGGUCCCACCGAGUCCACGAUGCAAACUCUCUGUUUCCCCUUCGUAACAUUUCGGUCUCAUCGAAAUGAGAGAAUCGGUCCCACUGUUUUGCCUGACCAACUCUCUGGUUAGCUUAUUACCAAAGUCGGUCCCACUGAGUUUGAGUAAUCGGUCUCACCAAGAUUACGUUAUGCCCUAACCCUAAUGAAAUCGGUCCCACCGAGUUGACAUGUCGGUCCCAUCGAAAAGCCUAACGUUCACAUUUUGAACCGAAUCGGUCUGACCGAGUUUUCCGAUUCGGUCCCACCGAGUUUGGUGAAUUGUGUGUAACGGUUAGAUUUUGUGUGGAGGCUAUAUAUACCCCUCCACCCACUCUUCAUUCAUGGAGAAAGCCAUCAGAACAUACCUACACUUCCAGCAUACAUUUUCUGAGAGAGAACCACCUACUCAUGUGUCGAGACCAAGAUAUUCCAUUCCAACCACAAGAAUCUUGAUCUCUAGCCUUCCCCAAGUUGCUUUCCACUCAUAUCAUCUUUCCACCAAAUCCAAAUCUGUGAGAGAGAGUUGAGUGUUGGGGAGACUACCAUUUGAAGCACAAGAGCAAGGAGUUCAUCAUCAACACACCAUCUAUUACCUUUUGGAGAGUGGUGUCUCCUAGAUUGGUCAGGUGUCACUUGGGAGCCUCCGUCAAGAUUGUGGAGUUGAACCAAGGAGUUUGUACGGGCAAGGAGAUCGCCUACUUCGUGAAGAUCUACCCUAGUGAGGCAAGUCCUUCGUGGGCGAUGGCCAUGGUGGGAUAGACAAGGUUGCUUCUUCGUGGACCCUUCGUGGGUGGAGCCCUCCGUGGACUCGCGCAACCGUUACCCUUCGUGGGUUGAAGUCUCCAUCAACGUGGAUGUACGAUAGCACCACCUAUCGGAACCACGGAAAAAAUCUCCGCGUCUAAAUUGCGUUUGCUCCCUCCAAACUCCUCCCUUUACCUUCAUGUGCAAUGUUUUACAUCCGCUUCUAUACUCUUAGACUUGCAUGUGUAGGUUGAUUGCUUGACUUGUGCUAAGUUGCUAUAACCUGCCAAGACAUAAAAUUGGGAAAAAUAUAGAUUUUUAUUUGGUCAAGUAGUCUAAUCACCCGGCCUCUAGACAUACUUUCGAUCCUACAAGUGGUAUCAGAGCUUUGGUCUCCAUUUGCCUUGAUUUCCAUAGCUUUUAGUGAUCAUAGCCUUGGUUUCACAACCUAGGAGAGUAUGGCGUCUAGCGAGGGAAAUUACCACCAUAGAGGUUGAUACGUCCAUUUUGCAUCAUGCUUUUAUAUCGAUAUUUAUUGCAUUAUGGGCUAUUAUUACACAUUAUGUCACCAUACUUAUGCCUAUUCUCUCUUAUUUUACAAGGUUUACACGAAGAGGGAGAAUGCCGGCAGGUGGAAUUCUGGGCUUGAAAAGGAGGAAAUAUUAGAUACCUAUUCUGCACAAAUCCAAAAGUCCUGAAACUUCACGGAGGCACGUUUUGGAAUUGAUAAAAAAUAUUGGCGAAAGAAUCAACCAGAGGGGCCCCACACCCUGGCUACGAGGGUCGGGGCGCGCCCCCUGUCUCGUGGGCCCCCUGCCAGGCCUCCGGUGUCCAUCUUCUGCUAUAUGAAGUCUUUCAUCCUGGAAAAAAUCAGAAGCAAGCUUUUGGGACGAAACACCGCCGCCAUGAGGCGGAACCAAUCUAGGGCUCCGACGGAGCUGUUCUGCCGGGGAAACAUCCCUCCGGGAGGGGGAAAUCAUCACCAUUGUCAUCACUAUCGAUCCUCUCAGUGGGAGGGGGUCAAUCUCCAUCAACAUCUUCACCAGCACCAUCUCCUCUAAAACCCUAGUUCAUCUCUUGUAUCCAAUCUUUGUCCCAAAACCUCAGAUUGGUACCUGUGGGUUGCUAGUAGUGUUGAUUACUCCUUGUAGUUGAUGCUAGUUGGUUUAUUUGGUGGAAGAUCAUAUGUUCACAUCCUCUAUGCAUAUUAAUACCUCUCUGAUUAUGAACAUGAAUAUGAUUUGUGAGUAGUUACGUUUGUUCCUGAGGACAUGGGAGAAGUCUUGCUAUAAGUAGUCAUGUCAAUUUCGUAUUCGUUCGAUAUUUUGAUGAGAUGUAUGUUGUCUUUCCUCUAGUGGUGUUAUGUGAAUGUCGACUACAUGACACUUCACCAUUGUUUGGGCCUAGAGGAAGGCAUUUGGAAGUAAUAAGUAGAUGAUGGGUUGCUAGAGUGACAGAAGGUUAAACCCUAGUUUAUGCAUUGCUUCGUAAGGGGCUGAUUUGGAUCCAUAUGUUUCAUGCUAUGGUUAGGUUUACCUUAAUACUACAUUUGUAGUUGUGGAUGCUUGCAAUAGGGGUUAAUCAUAAGUGGGAUGCUUGUCCAAGGAAGGGCACUACCCAAGCACUGGUCCACCCACAUAUCAAAUUAUCAAAGUAACGAACGUGAAUCAUAUGAGCGUGAUGAAAACUAGCUUGACGAUAAUUCCCAUGUGUCCUAGGGAGCGUUUUCCUUCAUAUAAGAGUUUGUCCAGGCUUGUCCUUUGCUACAAAAAGGAUUGGGCCAUCUUGCUGCACCUUAUUUACUUUCAUUACUUGUUGCCCGUUACAAAUUACCUUAUCACAAAACUAUCUGUUACCGAUAAUUUCAGUGCUUGUAGAGAAUAUCUUACUAAAAACCGCUUGUCAUUUCCUUCUGCUCCUCGUUGGGUUCAACACUCUUACUUAUCGAAAGGACUACGAUAGAUCCCCUACACCUGUGGGUCAUCAAGACUCUUUUCUGGCGCCAUUGCCGGGGAGUGAAGCGCCUUUGGUAAGUGGAAUUUGGUAAGGAAAAACUUAUAUAGUGUGCUGAAAUUUACUGUCACUUGUUACUAUGGAAAGUAAUCCUUUGAGGGGCUUGUUCGGGGUAUCUUCACCCCGACCAGUAGAGAAAAGAGUUGAUCCUCAACCUACUGAACCUACUGAAAAUGUUUACUUUGAAAUUCCUUCGGGUAUGAUAGAGAAACUGCUAGCUAAGCCUUUUACAGGAGAUGGAACAUUGCAUCCCGAUUUGCACCUAAUAUAUGUGGAUGAAGUUUGUGGAUUAUUUAAGCUUGCAGGUAUGCCCGAGGAUGUUAUCAAGAAGAAGAUCUUCCCUUUAUCUUUGAAGGGAAAGGCAUUGACAUGGUUUAGGCUAUGUGAUGGGAUCAUGGAACUACAACCGAUUGAAAUUGGAAUUUCAUCAGAAGUUUUAUCCUAUGCAUCUUGUACAUCGUGAUCAUAAUUAUAUAUAUAAUUUUUGGCCUCGUGAAGGAGAAAGCAUUGCUCAAGCUUGGGGGAGGCUUAAGUCAAUGUUAUACUCAUGCCCCGAUCAUGAGCUCUCAAGAGAAAUUAUUAUUCAAAAAUUUUAUGCUCGGCUUUCUCUCAAUAAUCGCUCAAUUAUCGAUACUUCUUGUACUGGUUCCUUUAUGAUGAAGACUAUUGAAUUCAAAUGGGAUCUAUUGGAAAGAAUUAAAUGCAACUCUGAAGAUUGGGAUCUCGACGAAGGUAAGGAGUCAGGUAUAACACCUAAGUUUGAUUGUGUUAAAUCUUUUAUGGAUACCGAUGUUUUCCGUGAAUUUAUGUAACAUCCCAAAUUUUCAAUUUGGAAUGUUUUACAAUUAUUAGCUAAGCAUCUAUGCAUUUUGAUUGAAAUUGAGUGGCAUUUGAAAAUUUCAGAGGCAGUUGAGUUUUUUGUUGUGAAUUUGAACUUGAUUUGGCAUUGAAAUUUAUUUCAAAUAUCCCUGACAAAUACUUGAUCAAAAGUAUGAGAGGAGCUAACAUGACACUCCAAAAAAAUGUUGGAAGAAAAGUAUUGCCAAAAAGUUUGAAUUUAAAUUUGAAUUUUAUUUGGGAUUUCCAGAAAAUUGUUUUUUUUUAGUUUGAGAUUUGCCCCUGGAAAAAUGUCCAUGUUGUAGGAUUAAUUCCCCUGAGAAUUUUGAUAUAUAUAUGUCCUAUAUAAAAAUAAUAUAUAUUUUUAUAUGUUUUCUCUUCUCUCUAAUUCAAAAAAAAAGAGGCAAAGCCCCAGGCGCCAGCCAGGCCAACCGGCCCAGCCAGCAGGGCAGGCACCAGCCCGCCAGCGCCCGAGCCACGGGCCAGUAGGCCGCCAGGCGAGGCGAGCGCUCGAUCCCCACGCUCCCUUCGCUCGAUCCCCUCACGUAACUCCCCCUCCCUCACGUAAUCCCCUCUAUCAAUUUUUUUCCCUCUGAUCGCUGGACCCCACAGCAUCAUCUCCUUUGUCCCGAUACUCCCGUGCCCGUAUCUCGCUCCGUUCGACGCCGGCAGCGUCCGCCCCUCUCCAAAACCCUAGCUAAAGCCUUCCCCUCGCCCAAGUAACACGUCCUAUAAGUAGCCCUACCCGUCCUCUCGCGAUCCCCUUUAAAAAACCCUCUCUAAAACCCUCCCCAGCCGCCACCAUCUCCGUUCCGAUCUCGCCCCAGCCACCGAAGUUCACCGCCGUUCUGCUUCACCGGUGAGCAUCCCCAGCCUCUCUAACCUCUGCUAUCGGUCUAGCCCGACCUCACAAAGCUUUUUGACAUGUUUUUGUUCGUCUUCGUCAUCUACAGAGGCCACUCCCAACCCCGCAUGCUCCACCGGAGCACCGAGCUCCACCGUCUCGUCUUCGUCGUCUCCGCCGUCCCCGACAUCCCCUCAGCUCACCGUCCACAGAAAAUCGGACGCCCCCGAACACCCGCAUCACCUGGACAUCCUCGCCGACGCCGCCGACGACCGGAGCCCCGCCGCCCACCGGCCUCUUCUUCCCUGCCACGCCCGUUUCCUCUCUGUAAGCACGAGCGCUCCUCUAUUUUUUUUCUUUUAGAUCGAACCGUUAGAUCGGUUUAGUAACUCGCUUUUUUAUUGGUUUUAGUGUACGGUUUUUUUAGGUUUAGAUUUAAACCGGUUCACUGGUUUCUUUUAGUUAUACACUGUACGCGUAUGUUAGUUAACGACCGGGCACGGUUUAGUUUCAGAUCGCACCACCCCGAGCCCAAUAGCGCCCAUUAGUUUUUUUUCUGUUAUUUACGUUCUGUUUUAAAAACAGAAAAGUUCCAAUCUUGUAAAAUCGGUUUCUCUUAGGUUUUUUUAAUAUUUUUAGUUGAUUCUUUUUUUGUUAGUUUGCAAAUUUGUUGUAGUUUCUGUAGAAAAUAUGUUUAGCCAUGUUUAAAUUAUUAGAAAUAGUUUUAUAUUAGAUUUAGACUGAUUAGUUUUUCUGCCAUAAAUUGAGUUAGGAUUAUUAUUUUUUAGUGAUUCUUUUUUCUACUGCUUAGUUUUCCAUGCCUAGCAGUAGGAACUUGUUUGGGUAUUUUUUAGAUUUAAUAAACAAUUAGUUUUAUGUCGAAAUCAAGUUUUUCUUGUUUAUUUAGCUAGCUACUGUUUUCCUACUGUUCUAGUUAGUAAAUAAUUUUAUCUUUAUUAUGUUAUAGUUUAUUUUAGAUUAGUUUCUGUAGCUACAGAGGAGGAACUUUUAUUUACGGUAGAAUAAAAAAAUUUAUUUUAUUUUCUUUGCUAGGAUUGUUUUAGGCAUAAUAGGAGUUCUAUAAUAGCUUUUGAUGUGAUUCUUUUUGCUACUAGUUUGUAUGAUGUUUUCCCUUCUGUUAGUUAGCAAAACCAAUGCUUAGGUUCUGGUAAGAAAAGUUUUAGUUGUGUAAAACUAUUUCUUAGUUGUUGCUUGAUAUGAUGAAAACCUUGAUUUGCUUUCUCCGAGUUUUUCUUUGGUUUUGGUUUGAGUGCUUGGGUGUUUUACUUCAACUUGCUGUUAUGUUAUAUUGUGCUAUACUUAUUUGUGCUAUUGUUUGACUCGGUAGAAUUUCCGGAGUGCGAAGCCUGCUAUUACGAGUCGCUAGCUUUCGAAGACCGUCAGCCAGGCAAGUCAUUUGAUCAUGUUUUUACAAUACCUAUGAUUUUAUUGCAUUAGAGUUAUACCUCCCCACCAUGCAUGCAGUAGGAGAAUUUUGUUAAGUUAUGUUCCUGAGUAGUAUCAUGAGGUAGGAUGAACCCUUCUCCCUUGUUACCGAUGCCCGGGAUGAUGUAGUUUAUUUUGCUAUGCUCGUAGACGGGGUUGGUUGAGUGAUUCAUAAGGGAGAUGCGAGAGUCAAGAUGAUGAAAACCCCAUGACAUCAAGCUCAAGAAGGACUUCAAAAUUCACUACUGGGUGGAGGACGGUUGACGGGCACCCUGGAGAAACCAGCGGAUGGCCGGGAUGCAUGGAGAAGCGCCAUGACAUCUUGCGGAAAGCUUCACCCAGCCACGAAGAGACGGAUGGAUACCCCAUUGACCGGAAGCUUACCUGUGCAGCCGCAAGCCAUUAUGGGCUCUGGCUGGGUUGACCCUAGGCGUGACUCUGGCCGGACGGUGCUACGGGAUGUAGAAGAACGGUAGGAUUGGAUGGGCACCGGCAGUGGCCCAGAGGAACUCUUCGGAAGACCCUGUUUCGUUCGUCCCGUCUUCAAACACCAGGCAAUGCGAAGACUUAAAGGAGGGAACGAUUCUUGCGGGUAAAGUGCACAAACCUCUGCAGAGUAACAACCUAAUCGAUUAGCCGUCUCCCCGGUUACGGACAAAUGAGCCUCUGGGAUUGGAGUAUUUCGGAAAUCUUAACACCGAACUUAAUAAAUUAAUUGAGGGGUUAUUUAAUAUUUGGGAAUGAGACAUUGGUUGGCGGAACCAUCUCAAUAACUACCAACAUUUUGUAGUAAUUGCAAACAAGUCCUUGUUGUAGGAAAAAACCGGCUUUUUCGCAAAACAAUGAAACUUAGAGCCCCACAGCCAAAUUGCAUAUAGUAUUAGUAAUUUUAUUGUUGUUCUCUCUUCAUGACUUGACGGCAUAUUCAAAAUGCUGACCUACACGGCUGCAACGUCUUAUGUUGCAGAGGAAUUUUCCGAUCAGGAGUGAGGCUACGAUCCACGCUUGGCGAUUGCCCUAUGGAGUCGGAUGGACUCGCUAUUCGUCUAUGUUUCCGCAGCUUUAUUUAGUUUAUUUCUCAUGAGUUGGCCUUUGGCCGAAUUUAUUAUGAUGUAAUAAAGACUCGAUAUGAGAAUCGUGUAAUAAAUUCAGGUGUGAUUGAACUUUGAAUCUUUGCAUCAAUGUACUGUGUGUGCCAGCAUGAGCUUGGGAUGGUACAGCUACACAGAGACUUGACCGAUUUCGGGUCGGGUUGUUACAGAGAUGGUAUUCAGAGCACACGCUGACCAUAGGACGUAACCCCUAGGAUCGGAAAGCCAUAGGAAGAGACUAUUUUAUUUUAUGUCCUUAUCAUUCCGUAAUUCUCCCCUGUUCAUUUCUGACUUCUCUCCGAUUUUCAACAUUCUAGAUGGCCGCCGAGUUCACCCCAGUUCUGCUACCGGAGUUUUGCCAGCCAGAUGAGACGAUGCUUCUCGGCAAGAAGCUGGUUCAAAUCGUGAAGAAGCUGAAGAUUGCUCUGCCCUCAAUCACCGGGAAGCCUAUCAAUGCACUUCCGACGGAUACCCGCUACAGGAUUAUGGUGCACAUUCCAGGGAGGACCUUCAGAGGACAUUUAGAGCCCAUUGACUUUGAGUUUACCGAUUUCACUUGGAUCCUCGUAAGAGACAUGGCGAUUUAUCGUGCACUUGGACAUCUCUGAGAAGAGUACAGGGCCGAGCUCGACCCAUUAGACCUCGCCAUGAUUUCUCGCAGAGCUAGGAAUGGAGAUAUCAUCCGUACCGUAGAGGACGACUCCAUUCUUUCAUAUGUCCAAGACUUGGAGAGUCUCAUCAGGAACCGGGAAAUCCAGACGCGUCGAAACUUGAAGGUACACAGGAGGUUGUUGUUUCGUGAACUGGAACUGGAGGAGAAAGCACACGCGGACUUCCUUGAACAUGAAGAAGAAGUCAAGGAUUUUAUGGAUAGAAUCGAGGUCCGGGAUAAAUAUAUUGCCACACUGGAGGAGAAGAUAGACCUGGGAGAAGACCUUUUUCCGAGUGGAGAUGAUGGACCCCUCGUGAGCAAUGACCAGGAUUAUGAAGAGAGCUCCACCGAAGGAAGCCGCAAGAGGAGAGGCCGCACCAGAGGACGCCGCACCGGAGGACGCAAGAAUAAUUGAUGAAGACAUUUAGUCGACCGCCAUGUUAUUUUAUUUUUUCGUCGAUCAGUUAGGCCAUUAUUUUCAAUUAGUCGUGAGAUUUUUGUAAUCCCAGAUUGAACCUUGUUUGAGAUGAAUGAAUAAAUGAUUGGUGUGAUUUUGAUUGUGCAUUCAUAUGGGUAGUGCUAUUUUCUCAUUAGACCCUUGUUCUAUUCUAAUUUCUCAUCCACUCCAAAACACCAGAUGCCUCCGAGACAUGACCCCGGUUUCAACUUUCCGCCGGAGCUCACCCAGCUGAUCCAGCAGCAGAAUGCCCUGAUGCAGAUGCUCAUCCAGAACCAGAACAACAACAACAACAACAACAAUCCACCGCCACCACCCCUGCUGACAACUUGACCCGCUUCCUAAGGCUGAAUCCGCCAGUGUUCUCUAGCAGCACUGAGCCAAUUGUGGCCGAUGAUUGGCUCCGCAAGGUCGGAAGGGAGUUAGCCACUGCUGGAUGCACAGAUGUAGAGAAGGUGCGCUUUGCCGCACAUCAGCUUGAUGGACCUGCAGCUUCUUGGUGGGAGAACUACACCGCCACUUAUCCGGCCGCCACCGUGACAUGGGCUGAGUUCCAGCAGGCCUUCCGCACCGCUCAUGUCUCAGCUGGAGCCAUGAGUCUGAAGAAGCGUGAGUUCCGCAACUUACGCCAGGGGAACCGUACUGUGUGGCAGUACGUGGAUGAGUUCAGCAAAUUAUCUCGCUAUGCCCCAGAUGAUGUGGCCACAGAUGCCGCAAAGCAAGAGAAGUUUCUCGAGGGACUCAAUGAUGAGCUAGGAAUGCAGCUAAUGGUGGCUACCUUCAACAACUACCAGGAGUUGGUAGACAAGGCCACCAUACUUGAAGGCAAGCAGCAGCAGAUUGAUAGCCGCAAGUGGAAAUAUGGCCAGGGAAAGUACAACUCCGGAGCUCAGCAGAAGCCCCGCUAUACCCCAUACUCGGGAGGACAUACCCAUCACACCCAUGGAGGACAUAAUCAUGGAGGACAUAACCAUGGAGGGAAUGGGAACAAUCGCAACCACGACAACAACUCCAAGUCAGGCAAUGGAGGCAAUGGCAACCAGCACCGUCCUGCUCCGGCUCAGAAGGAUCUGAGUCAUAUCACCUGUUUCAAGUGCCAGAAGACAAGACACUAUGCCACCGAUUGUCCGGAGGCCAAGCAGAGGAAUGGAAACGGCAACGGCAACGAAAGCUCAACAAAGAAGCCCAACCCUUUUCCUCGUGCUCAGGUGAAUCACCUUGACGUGGAGGAUGUCUAUGAUCAGCCAGACACUGUGGUUGGUAAGUUUUUAUUAAAUUCACAUCCAGUAUUGGUACUCUUUGAUUUCGGUGCAACGCAUUCAUUCAUAUCAAGGGUAGUUGUGGAAAAGUACGGGUUGCCCACUAGAACCCUUAGAACCCCUCUGCAGGUCACUUCCCCAGGAGGAGAGAUGACGGCAGGCUUAGGCUGUCAUGCUAAAACUUCAACUGUGCUUCGUAAGAGUAAUACUAGAACACCUACACCCCCUGAGCAAAUUAAAGUUGAACCUAGUAUUGCUAUGGUUAAAGAUCUCUUGGCCGAUAAUAUUGAUGGGCAUGUUAUUUACUUCAUUGAUGAAGCUCCUAGAAUUGCUAGACCUGAUACUAAAAAUAAACAUAGACCUAUUGUAGGCAUGCCUAUUAUUUCUGUUAAAAUAGGAGAUCAUUGCUACUAUGGCUUAUGUGAUAUGGGUGCUAGUGCAAGUGCAAUACCUCAUUCCUUAUAUAAAGAAAUUAUGCAUGAUAUUGCACCUGCUGAGAUAGAGGAAAUUGAUGUUACAAUUAAGCUUGCCAAUAGAGACACUAUUUCACCAGUUGGGAUUGUUAGAGAUGUUGAAGUCUUGUGUGGGAAAGUUAAAUAUCCUGCUGAUUUUCUUGUUCUUGGUUCCCCACAAGAUAACUUUUGUCCCAUUAUAUUUGGUAGACCCUUCUUGAAUACUGUUAAUGCUUGGAUAGACUGCAAAAGGAUGUUGUUACUAUUGGUUUGGGGGAUAUGUCUCAUGAGUUUAAUUUUGCUAAGUUUCGUAGACAACCCCAUGAUAAAGAAUUGCCUAGUAAAGAUGAAAUUAGUGGUCUUGCUUCUAUUGCUGUGCCUCCUAAUGAUCCGUUAGAACAAUAUUUGCUAGACCAUGAGAAUGAUAUGUUUAUGAAUGAAAGAAGGGAAAUAGAUGAAGUAUUCUUUAAACAGGGACCUAUUUUGAAACACAACUUGCUUGUUGAAAUCCUAGGGGAUCCUCCUCCACCCAAGGGUGAUCCCGUGUUUGAGCUUAAACCAUUACCCGAUACUCUUAAAUAUGCCUAUCUUGAUGAGAAAAAGAUAUAUCAUGUUAUUAUUAGUGCUAACCUUUCAGAGCAUGAAGAAAAGAAAUUAUUGAAAACUCUGAAGAAGCACCGUGCUGCUAUUGGAUACACUCUUGAUGAUCUUAAGGGCAUUAGUCCCACUCUAUGUCAGCACAAAAUAAAAUUGGAGAAAGACGCUAAACCGGUUGUUGGUCACCAACGACGGUUAAAUCCUAAGAUGAAAGAAGUGGUAAGAAAAGAAAUACUAAAGCUUCUGGAGGCAGGUAUAAUUUAUCCCGUUGCUGAUAGUCAGUGGGUAAGUCUUGUCCAUUGUGUCCCUAAGAAGGGAGGCAUUACUGUUGUCCCUAAUGAUAAAGAUGAAUUGAUCCCACAAAGAAUCGUUACAGGUUAUAGAAUGGUAAUUGAUUUUCGCAAACUAAAUAAAGCUACUAAAAAGGAUCAUUACCCUUUACCUUUUAUUGAUCAAAUGCUAGAAAGAUUAUCCAAACAUACGCAUUUUUGCUUUCUAGAUGGUUAUUCUGGUUUCUCUCAAAUACUUGUGUCAAAAGAGGAUCAAGAAAAGACCACUUUUACUUGCCCUUUCGGUACCUUUGCUUAUAGACGUAUGCCUUUUGGUUUAUGCAAUGCACCUGCUACCUUUCAAAGAUGCAUGAUGGCUAUAUUCUCUGAUUUUUGUGAAAAGAUUGUUGAGGUUUUCAUGGAUGAUUUCUCUGUAUAUGGAACUUAUUUUGAUGAUUGCUUGAGCAACCUUGGUCGAGUUUUGCAGAGAUGUGAAAAAACUAAUCUUGUCUUGAAUUGGGAGAAGUGCCACUUUAUGGUUAACGAAGGUAUUGUCCCGGGGCACAAAAUUUCUGAAAGAGGUAUUGAAGUCGAUAAAGCUAAAGUUGAUGCUAUUGAAAAGAUGUCGUGUCCUAAGGACAUUAAAGGUAUAAGAAGUUUCCUUGGUCAUGCCGGUUUUUAUAGGAGGUUCAUUAAAGGCUUCUCAAAAAUUUCUAGGCCUCUGACUAAUCUCUUACAAAAAUAUGUUCCUUUUAUCUUUGAUGAUGAUUGUGUAGAAGCAUCUAAAAUACUUAAGAAAGCCUUGAUUCUGCACCUAUUGUUCAGCCACCUAAUUGGAAUUUACCCUUUGAAUUAUGUGUGAUGCUAGUGAUUAUGUUGUAGGUGUUGUUCUAGGACAAAGAGUUGAUAAGAAAUUAAAUGUUAUUCAAUAUGCCAGUAAAACUCUAGACAGUGCCCAGAGAAAUUAUGCUACUACUGAAAAAUAAUUUUUAGCAGUUGUAUUUGCUUGUGAUAAGUCCCGACCUUAUAUUGUUGAUUCUAAACUAACUUUUCAGACUGAUCAUGCUGCUAUUAAAUAUCUUAUAAAAAAGAAAGAUGCUAAACCUAGACUUAUUAGAUGGGUUCUCUUGCUGCAAGAAUUCGAUCUGCAUAUUAUUGAUAGAAAGGGAGCUGAGAACCCCGUUGCAGACAACUUAUCUAGGUUAGAGAAUGUUCUUGAUGACCCACUACCUAUUGAUGAUAGCUUCCCUGAUGAACAAUUAGCUGUCAUAAAUGCUUCUCGUACUGCUCCAUGGUAUGCUGAUUAUGCUAAUUACAUUGUUGCUAAAUUUAUACGACCUAGUUUCACAUACCAGCAAAACAAAAAGUUCUUCUAUGAUUUAAGACAUUACUUCUGGGAUGACCCACACCUUUAUAAAGAAGGAGUAGAUGGUGUUAUUAGACAUUGUGUACCUGAGCAUGAACAGGAACAGAUCCUACACAAGUGUCACUCCGAGGCUUAUGGAGGACACCACGCUGGAGAUAGAACUGCACAUAAGGUAUUGCAAUCCGGUUUUUAUUGGCCUACUCUCUUCAAAGAUACCCGUAAGUUUGUCUUGUCUUGUGAUGAAUGUCAAAGAAUCGGUAAUAUUAGUAGACGUCAAGAAAUACCUAUGAAUUAUUCACUUGUUAUUGAACCAUUUGAUGUUUGGGGCUUCGAUUAUAUGGGACUGUUUCCUUCCUCUAAUGGGUAUACACAUAUUUUAGUUGCUGUUCAUUACGUUACUAAGUGGGUAGAAGCUACUCCAACUAGUAGUGCUGAUCAUAACACCUCUAUUAAGAUGCUUAAAGAAGUUAUUUUUCCGAGGUUUGGAGUCCCUAGAUAUUUAAUGACUGAUGGUGGUUCACACUUUAUUCAUGGUGCCUUUCGUAAAAUGCUUGCUAAGUAUGAUGUUAAUCAUAAAAUUGCAUCUCCGUACCAUCCACAAUCUAGUGGUCAAGCAGAACUUAGUAAUAGAGAGCUCAAAUUAAUUUUGCAAAAUACUGUUAAUAGAUCUAGAAAGAAUUGGUCCAAGAAACUUGAUGAUGCAUUAUGGGCCUAUAGAACUGCAUAUAAGAAUCCUAUGGGUAUGUCUCCGUAUAAAAUGGUUUAUGGAAAAGCAUGUCACUUGCCUCUCGAACUAGAACAUAAGGCAUAUUGGGCCAUUAAAGAGCUCAAUUAUGAUUUCAAACUUGCCGGUGAGAAGAGCUAUUUGACAUUAGCUCACUUGACGAAUGGAGAACCCAGACCUAUGAGAAUGCCAAACUGUUGAAAGAAAAAGUUAAAAGAUGGCAUGACAAAAGGAUACAAAAGCGUGAGUUUAAUGUAGGUGAUUAUGUGUUGCUAUUCAACUCUCGUUUGAGAUUUUUGCAGGAAAACUCCUCUCAAAAUGGGAAGGUCCUUACGUUAUCGAGGAGGUCUAUCGUUCCGGUGCCAUAAAAAUCAAAAACUUCGAAGGCACAAAUCCGAAGGUGGUGAACGGUCAAAGAAUCAAACAUUAUAUCUCAGGUAAUGCCAUAAUUGUUGAAACCAAUGUUAUUGAAACUGUAACCCCUGAGGAAUACAUAAGGGACACUUUCCAGAACGCUUCAGACUCCGAAAAGGAAUAGGUAUAUGGUAAUGUAAGUAAACUGACCCCAAAACAGUUCUAAUGGCAAUUUUUCUCUGUUUUGGAAUAUUUAAGAAAAUAGGAAAAUAAGAAGUAGUCCGGGAAGGACACGAGGCGUCCACGAGGGAGGAGGGCACGCCCCCUGCCUCGUGGGCACCUCGUGUGCUCUUCGGACUCCGUUUUCUUGCACGAUACUUCUUUUGGUCGGUAAAAAUUCACUAUAUAAUCUCCCGAAGGUUUUGACCACCGUACCACGCAAAUAUCCUCUGCUUUUUGUUUCGAACUGUUUCCGCCGCAGAUUAGAGCAAGAUGUCUUCUCAAGAGUCAGUCGGGGAGAGUCGGGUGUCUCAUCCGACACCGGGUCCAGGAGCAAAUAGCGAUGCCUAUCACUUUGGGCCAUCAACGGAGGAAGAGAUGGAAGCUGACUUGAAAAGGAUAGAUGCCAUGGAGGAGGAUUAGGAAGUUACUUCUCAUUUCCAGGCCGGAUUCACGAUGGGGGAACUACAGAGCUCAGCUAUUCCAAACUCGGUCAUCCCUUCCAAUGUUAGAUUUCUCUCUUAUGAAAAUAUGAAAAAGAGUGUUACUUGUUCUCCCGUAGCUAUGCAACAUCCUUGGGUGAAAGGAGCCUUAGCCAUCACGGAUAAGCUCCGUAAGGAAAUAAUGGACCUCAGGCAGCAAUUCAGUAAGCUCGAGGAGGAGAAUCGUAUCCUGAGGGGCAUCAUCGCCAAGAAUAUCACCUCACCACCUCCGAAGAAAGAGACAUAAUCACAUGGGUAUGGGCACUCCCCUUGGCAACUGCCAAGCUUGGGGGAGGUGCCCCGCUAUCGUAUCACCAUCACACUCCUAUCUUUACCGUUUUUCUUAGUUUGAUCCUUUUGGUAAUAUCUUGAUCUAGUAGAAUAAAGUUUUAGUAUGAUUUAGUUUUGAGUUUUGCUUUAUGAUCCUUCUAUGUAAUCGAGUCCGUGAGCUAUAUAUAAUAAACAUUAGUUUUGAGUCAAGGUCUUGAUUAUCUUGCUAUGAUCGUGAGGGAAUAAAAGGAAAAGAAAGAAUAAAAAGAAAUAAAGAGAUCAUAUUGAUCUUAUGGAGAGUAAUGACUUCACAUAUAAAUAGUAUGAUGAAUAAAAGUUGUUGAGAGUUGACAAACAUAGUUUUGGUCAUCGUUGCAAUUAAUAGGAAGUAAUAAAGAAAGAGAGGUUUUCACAUAUAAAUAUACUAUCUUGGACAUCUUUUAUGAUUGUGAGCACUCAUUAAAAUAUGACAUGCUAAAGAAUUGAUGUUGGACAAGGAAGACAACGUAAUGGGUUAUGUUUUCUUAUAUCUGAAAUAAAGUAUAUUGUCAUGGAUCAUCCAACUUGUUUAGCUUGCCUUUCCCCAUCAUGCUAGCCAAAUUCUUUGCACCAAGUAGAGAUACUACUUGUGCUUCCGAAUAUCCUUAAACCCAGUUUUGCCGUGAGAGUCCACCAUAUCUACCUAUGGAUUGAGUAAGAUCCUUCAAGUAAGUUGUCAUUGUUGCAUGCAAUAAAAAUUGCUAUCUAAAUAUGUAUGAUUUAUUAGUGUGGAGAAAAUAAGCUUUAUACGAUCUUGUGAUGUGGAAGCAAUAAAAGCGACGGACUGCAUAAUAAAGGUCCAUAUCACAAGUGGCAAUAUAAAGUGACGUUCUUUUGCAUUAAUAUUUCAUGCAUCCAACCAUAAAAGCACAUGACAACCUCUGCUUCCCUCUGCGAAGGGCCUAUCUUUUAUUUUUGUCUUAUACCCUGUACAAGAGUCAUGGUGAUCUUCGCCUUUCCUUUUUAUAUUUUAUCCUUUGGCAAGCACAUGUGUUGGAAAGAUCCUGAUAUAUAUAUCCAAUUGGAUGUAAAGUUAUCAUGAACUAUUAUUGUUGAUAUUACCCUUGAGGUAAAAGGUUGGGAGGCAACACUAUAAGCCCCUAUCUUUCUCUGUGUUCGAUUAAAACUCCAUAACCAUAAGUAUUGCGUGAGUGUUAGCAAUUGUGAAAGACUAAAUGAUAGUUGAGUAUGUGGACUUGCUGAAAAGAUCUUAUAUUGACUCUUUCUGAUGUUAUGAUAAAUUGCAAUUGCUUCAAUGACCGAGAUGAUAGUUUGUUAGUUCUCAAUGAAGUUUCUGAUUCAUAUUUGACAUUGUGAAUAGAUUAUUACUUGAGCAUAAGAAAUCAUAUGACAAUAUUUAUAUAUGGUGCUGUUAUAAUAAUGAUCAUGAUGCCCUCAUGUCCGUAUUUUAUUUUAUCGACACCUCUAUCUCUAAACAUGUGGACAUAUUUUUUGUUAUCGGUUUUCGCUUGAGGACAAGCGAGGUCUAAGCUUGGGGGAGUUGAUACGUCCAUUUUUCAUCAUGCUUUUAUAUCGAUAUUUAUUGCAUUAUGUGGGCUGUUAUUACACAUUAUGUCACCAUACUUAUGCCUAUUCUCUCUUAUUUUACAAGGUUUACACGAAGAGGGAGAAUGCCGGCAGGUGGAAUUCUGGGCUGGAAAAGGAGGAAAUAUUAGAGACCUAUUCUGCACAACUCCAAAAGUCCUGAAACUUCACGGAGGCACGUUUUGGAAUUAAUAAAAAAUACCCUGGCCACGAGGGUGGGGGCACGCCCCCUGUCUCGUGGGCCCCUGGCAGGCCUCCGGUGCCCAUCUUCUGCUAUAUGAAGUCUUUCAUCCUGGAAAAAAUCAGAAGGAAACUUUCGGGACGAAACACCGCCGCCACGAGGCGGAACCUUGGCGGAACCAAUCUAGGGCUCCGGCGGAGCUGUUCUGCCGGGGAAUCAUCCCUCCGGGAGGGGGAAAUCAUCACCAUCGUCAUCACCAUCAAUCCUCUCAGUGGGAGGGGGUCAAUCUCCAUCAACAUCUUCACCAGCACCAUCUCCUCUAAAACCCUAGUUCAUCUCUUGUAUCCAAUCUUUGUCCCAAAACCUCAGAUUGGUACAUGUGGGUUGCUAGUAGUGUUGAUUACUCCUUGUAGUUGAUGCUAGUUGGUUUAUUUUUGGUGGAAGAUCAUAUGUUCAGUUCCUCUAUGCAUAUUAAUACCUCUCUGAUUAUGAACAUGAAUAUGAUUUGUGAGUAGUUACGUUUGUUCCUGAGGACAUGGGAGAAGUCUUGCUAUAAGUAGUCAUGUGAAUUUCGUAUUCGUUCGAUAUUUUGAUGAGAUGUAUGUUGUCUUUCCUCUAGUGGUGUUAUGUGAACGUCGACUACAUGACACUUCACCAUUGUUUGGGCCUAGAUGAAGGCAUUGGGAAUAAUAAGUAGAUGAUGGGUUGCUAGAGUGACAGAAGCUUAAACCCUAGUUUAUGCGUUGCUUCAUAAGGGGCUGAUUUGGAUCCAUAUGUUUCAUGCUAUGAUUAGGUUUACCUUAAUACUUCUUUUGUAGUUGCGGAUGCUUGCAAUAGGGGUUAAUCAUAAGUGGGAUGCUUGUCCAAGGAAGGGCAGUACCCAAGCACUGGUCCACCCACAUAUCAAAUUAUCAAAGUAACGAACGCGAAUCAUAUGAGCGUGAUGAAAACUAGCUUGACGAUAAUUCCCAUGUGUCCCCAGGAGCGUUUUCCUUCAUAUAAGAGUUUGUCCAGGCUUGUCCUUUGCUACAAAAAGGAUUGGGCCAUAUUGUUGCACCUUAUUUACUUUCAUUACUUGUUGCCCGUUACAAAUUACCUUAUCACAAAACUAUCUGUUACCGAUAAUUUCAGUGCUUGCAGAGAAUAUCUUACUGAAAACCACUUGUCAUUUCCUUCUGCUCCUCGUUGGGUUCGACACUCUUACUUAUCGAAAGGACUAUGAUAGAUCCCCUACACUUGUGGGUCAUCAGAGGUCCUUAGUUUGAUGGUACUAAUUUUGCUAGUUGGAAGCAUAAGAUGAAAAUACAUACUCUUGGACAUAACCCUGCCGUUUGGGCUAUCGUGUGUAUUGGUUUGCAAGGUGAAUUCUUUGAUGGGAGAGAACCGAACCGUGAAGCUACCGCGGAAGAGUUGAAGAUGGUGCAAUACAACGCUCAAGCUUGCGAUAUCCUCUUCAACGGAUUGUGCCCCGAAGAAUUCAACAAAAUCAGCCGUCUUGAGAAUGCAAAGGAAAUUUGGGAUACUUUGAUUGAUAUGCACGAAGGUACCAACUCCGUCAAGGAAUCCAAAUUGGAUGUGCUUCAAAGUCAACUUGACAAGUUCAAAAUGAAGGAUGGUGAAGGUGUCGCUAAAAUGUACUCUAGGCUUGCUCUCAUCACAAAUGAGAUUGCCGGCUUAGGAAGUGAAGAGAUGACUGGUAGAUUCAUCAUCAAGAAGAUCCUAAGAGCCUUGGAUGCAAAAUAUGAUACCGUGUGCACAUUUAUCCAAAUGAUGCCCAAUUAUAAAGAUCUCAAGCCUACAGAAGUCAUUGAAAGAAUUGUUGCUCAUGAGAUGUCACUCAAGGAUAAGGAAGAGCUUCACAACAAGUCAAGUGGUGCUUACAAAGCCUCAUGUGAUGCCCCUACAUCAUCAAGUGAGAAACAAACCUUCAAUGAGGAAUUGAACCUAAUGGUGAAGAAUUUCAACAAGUUCUACAAGAGUAGAAGCAAGGAAAGAAGCUCCAAGUCAAGGUCCUGCAAUGACAAAAGAUCUUCGAGUCGUGAACGUAAUUGCUACAAUUGUGGAAGACCCGUACACUACUCCAAUGAGUGUACGGCUCCCUACAAGAGAAGAGAAGAUUCACCAAAAAGAAGAAGUAGAAGAGAAGAAUCACCACCUAGAGAGAGGAGGAGUAGAGAUGAUUGUUAUGAACGAAGAACCUCUCAGAGAAGCAAGGAUUUGGAAAGGAAGGACAAAUCAUCAAAGAGCUACAUAAAACGAAGACAUCAAGCUCAUGUUGGUGAAUGGGUAUCCGGCUCCGACUCCGACCAUCACUCUGAAAGAAGUUAUCACUCCGACUCCGAAUAUACUAAAGAUGAAGGUGUUGCUGGUCUAGCACUUGUGUCAACCAACUCCUACGACAUAUUUGGUUCACCAAAUUAAGGAAUUGGAAGAUGCUUCAUGGCUAAAGGCCCAAAGGUAUCACACCCUGAGUAUGUUGAUUUCAAUAGUGAUGAAGAUAUUGCUAGGUGAUGAUGAUUUACUUGUUGACAACUCUAGUGAUGAAAACUAUGAUGAACUUGCUAUUAAUCAUGAUAAUCAAGAUAAAACGAAUGAUGAUGAUAAGAAGGAGAUUGAGCGUCUAACUAAAGAACUAAACACUCUUAAGUUAGCUCAUGAAACUACCUUGGAAGAUCAUCGAGAACUUUUAAAGACUCAUGAAAAGUUACACUUUGAAAAGCUCAACCUUGAGCAAGAGCAUGGGUUCUUAAAAGCAAUCAAUGAUGAUCUUUGCAAGAAAAGUUCUUCUUACAUUGCCAAGCGUUUACUCUUGUCUACUUACAUGUCACAAGUUAAAUCUAGUAACAAGAGUAAGAAAGAUUCUUCUUUUAGUAGUAACAACAAUCAUGUUAAGUCCAAUGUUGUUGCUUCUAGUAGUUCUCUUGAUACCACUAAUGAUUCUCUUAGCCAAGUCACACUUGAGCAAGAAAAUAGCUUAUUGAAGGGAAUUAUAGAGAAAGGUGUUUACAAGAGCAUUGCCGGGAGUAAGCAAUUUGAGGAAAUUGUACGCAAGCAAGGAAGACACCGGAAGAAUCAAGGUGUUGGUUUUGAACGAAAGUUCAAUGCCAAUGGAGUUUAGUGGGAAGAAGAUCAAUACCCCAAGAUGAAGUUUGUUCCUCAACAAGAGAAGUAUGAUCCUACUUCUUUCCAAGGGACACAAGAUCAAGAUGAUCUUCCACCACAAGACCACAAGCAAAAAAGGCAAGGACAAGCUUCAAGAGGAGAUCGAUGCAUUUGAAGAAGCUCCUAAGGCCUUGGUCAAGUGGGUUCCCAAGACUACAUCAAGUUCUACUAUGUCAAGUACGACUACAACUCCAAGGAUUCCCAUCAAGAUGAUGUGGAUCCUGAAGAAGAAGAAGAAGAACUAGGGAGUUCUUGAGGGUGACUCCACCAACAUACUUCACUCAUAUCAUUUUGGCGAGGACAAGUGCAAACAACUUCCACAUCUUGCACUAGUUCAAGGAGUCACAAACGCUCUUGUUGGUAAGACAAGGGACAAGGUAACCUAAUGUUUUCAUGGACAUCAUCUAUGUGUACAUCACUCUAUGUCUAUGGAUAUCCUUGUUUGUUCCUUGUGGGACUAACCCGUGUAGGUAUUGAAAGUGCAACUCACUCCAAUGGAUUGCUCCAAAUGAUCUACAUCAACAUUGAGCAUCCACAUCUUCAACAUCUACAUGAAGUCAUCAUCGACAAAACCCAAGGUUAGUUCAUCCCUCUUAGGGGGGAUAUCACAUCUAGGGGCGCUUUACUCCAACAAUUGAGCUAAAGCAACUCUAAUGAUGUGAACACAACAAUGCUUUAUGUAAAAGUGGUAACCCCACUUGUGCUUACACGAUGAGUAUGACCUAUGAUCAAAUGUUCUCAUUUGACUCCUAAGUCAAUAGACUCAUAUAUAGAUGACCUAGUCAUCGCCAAUUGCUUGAUAGAUGCUAGAGUGUUUGUGCAUGCUUUGUCACAUAUUUUAUUUGCCAUUUUAUUGUGUGAGCAUGUUGAUUGCAUAUUUUACUCAUUUGAGGACAUCCACUUGUUUCUUGGAUUGAUUGGCUCUUUUUCUUUUGCCAAGUAGAUGGACAAGAAUGCCUAAGAACUUUCUCUAGCUAUCUAUGCUUUUCUCGUCUCAAACUCUAUUCAUGCUACAUCACAAAGUUUGAUCAAGUCAGAUUCGAACCACUCUGUGUGAGGAGCACUCAGAGUCCCCAAUUCGUCAUAGACUUAAACUUCAAAAACCUCUCUGUGCAUUUCGGUAUGAACGAUUCAUCCAUUUCGGUCACACCGAGUUCACUGAGUUGAUCUAGGUUUUCAAUCUCGGUGCAACCGAUUUGAACUUUUUGGUCACACCCGAGUUGCAGUAACCGCUUGCGAUUCUGCAUCUCGGUGCCACCGAGUUGUUCCACUCGGUCACACCGAUAGGGUCAGGACAUAUAUACCCACGGGUGAGAUUUUGGAAAUUUCUUCAAAACUCCUCAGCCCGCACGUGUCCUGCUCUGCCGCCUCGGGUCUCCGGAUCGUCUCCUCGUCACCAGCGACCUCCCGCCGCUGGUUUCUGUCGCUGUCAACGGGAUUCUGCCCCACCGUUGUCGUUGUAGCGAACUCACCGCCGAGCUAGGGUAUGAGUUCGAUCUUUUGUGCUAUUUCCUUACUCCGAUUCCUAGCACAUUGCUUUGUCAUGAUCUUUACCACAUAUGAAAUCUAUCCAGAGGAAAACAUCCUUCAAAUUAGGUUUGAUUUGAAAAUUUAGGGUUAGGUCUCCGCCGAACUCAUCUCGGACCGACCGAGUUGUAGAAAUCGGUCUCACCGAUUUGGCUUAGGCCAUUGCACAUGCAUUUUUUGGUCUGACCGAAAAUUGCAAAUCAGUGUGACCGAGUUCAACUCUCUGUGAAACCCUAGCAAUCUCGGAGCCACCGAACUAUGACUCGGUCUGACUGAGUUCACUAGUUUAGACUCCAAAAGUUGCUUCGGUAUCACCGAGUUUAUCAAAUCGGUAGCUCCGAAAUGCUUUCUAUGGAGAACUAAAACUAAGUUUUUGAGUCAUCUGUUUUGCAAAAACUCUGCACUUUGUGAUGCUCAUCCACUCUACCUUAUCUAUAUCUAUUCACAGGGUCUGCUGUCAGUUUGCUUGCCAAGAUGUCUGACCAGAGUGAUAGCCAGAACAAAUCUGAAGAGCAAGUGCAAAUGAGUGAGGGCACUAGUCCCUCAAGCAGCUAUGAUGAGGGCAGCAGGAGCACUCCCAGCAACUUGACAAAGGCAGCCACCAGAUCUAGGAAGAAGAAAACCUCAGAUUCUAAGGAUGAGGACUAUGUGGCUGUUGAGGAGGAAGUGAGCUCCAAGAAGAAAGUCCUGAAGAAGGAAUAUGGAGCUGCUGCUGCAACCAAACCUAGCUUGAACAAGAAAGCACCUGCAAAGAGAGUCCCAAUGUCUAAGGCCAGGGCCUCCACUCAGGAACCCUCCAAGUCAACUGGGGGAGAGGAUGCUGAUGAGGAUAAGAAAAAGAAGGAGAGAAAGAGGGGAAGAUGGUGCAAGAAGGUGGACCCCAUGGCUGAAUUUGAGAAAGCAUUCUUCAGAAGAUGAAGAGGAAGAGGAAGAGGAUGCACCAGCACCCAAGUCCCAGAAGCUCAUGGGAGAUGCAAUCAAGUCAGGGGCUGCUCCAUCAAAGCCCAAAAUGCUCCCAAAGCAACUACUCAAGAUCAAAAGACUUCUAAGCCCAAGAGAAGCACCAGGAACAUACCAGCUGAAGAGAAGAACAAGGCCCCAGUGCCUGAAGUUGAAGAAGAAGAUGAUGAAGCCCAAGUGCUGAGAAAACUGAAACCAAAGAUUCCAAACCACAAUGACACUCAUCCAGUGGCUGAGGACAUGCACAUCAGGAAGGAUGAAGGACUGAGAUUGUGGAGACAGUCUGAUCCCUAUGCUGUGAGGAGGACGAUUGCUGUGGACUACAGGUUCCACACCAAAGAACAACAAGAUUUCUAUGAGACUAUUCUGCUUGACAAGAAGCCAAUUGUCUGUGAUAUGAAGUGGGUUGAUUGGGAAUUCAUUGAUGAGAAUGAAGAUUAUUUCCCAGGAAUGCAUGAAAGUUUCAAAGCUUGUGGAGUUGACAAGUUUGUUGGACAGAAGCUUACCAAAUGGAAUGAUGAGCUCAUUAUGCAGUUUUAUUCUACAGCUCAUUUCUAUCCAGAUGGUAGAAUAGUGUGGAUGUCUGAAGGUACAAGGUACCAAUCAACUGUUGCUGAGUGGGCCAAGUUGAUCAAUGCCCCAGAAGAGCAUGAGGAUGAUUUGGAUGUGUAUGCCAAGAAGAAGAAAGACCACAACUCUAUGGCAAAUAUGUACAAAGAGAUCCAAGAUAAAGCUUUGGACACACACAAGUUUGGAUCUGUACACUAUUUAUUGUCUGGUCUGCUUACUAUCAACACCAUCUUAAGGCAUACUCUGUUACCCAAAUCUGGAUAUCACAAGAUGAUUAGAGGACAUUCCAUCAACUUGUUGCAGAUCUUUGAUGUUCCUCAAAAAUUCAAAGUCAUGAGUCUGAUUGUAGAGACAAUCAAAAGGACAGCUACUGAGCAGAAGAGAUCAUGUGGGUAUGCUCCACACAUCCAGGUGCUCAUCAACUCCAAGAUGGGCACGGGCACUUACUUGUUGGACAAGGAGCAUUUACCUUUGCACCCAGAAUUUGAAGAUAACACGGUUGUGAUGAAUGAGGAUGAACCAUCAUCAGUGCAAGCACAAGAGAAGAGAGCAAAGGCAAAGGCAGAAAAAGCUGCAAAUAUGCCUAGUGUUGAGGAGGCAUCCCAGGUGUUCUUAAAGAGCAAACAAGAUCAGUUAUCCUAUUUGAUUCAAGCAACUUUGAGGAUUGAGGAGGGCUUGGCGACCCUGACUCAGAAUCAGGAGAGCUUGGAUAGGAUUAUAGAAACAAAGUUUUAUGAUCUUGAUCUGAAAGUCACUGAGAUACAGACUGCAGUUGAGUAGCUCCAGGAGGAAGCAGAGGAGAAGAGAGGACAGGGUACUACAGAUGCUUUCAGCGAGUGCCAAGAGGUCAGAGGUCAGCUGCAGUGCCAGUGCCAGAUACAAGAGCUACUUCAUCUGCACCAGCAGCAACAGCUUCAGUUCCACCUCCAGCAGCCACUCCACCAGCUCCAGCUACAUCAACUGAUGCCUUCGUCCUUGGAGUUCUCUCUACACUACCUCCCGAAGACCAAUCAUGAGAGACGCAUAGCACUAUGCAUUUUCAAACUUUUUGGUAACUUGUUGCCAAAGGGGGGGGAAUGUAUAGAUCAUAGGCUUCGAGAGAGAGUGUUUUGCUUCUUUGUCUCUCUUGCUACUUGCUAACUUUUGUGUGUGCUUGUUUGAUACUUUAUGUCUGCAUGUGAGAUACUUACAUGAUCAUGUGUUUGAUCAUAUCAUACUUUAAUGCUUGCUCGAUAUUAUUAUCUCUUAUAUCCCUAUAUGAUCAUUCACUUUGCUUGGUGAUGAGUGCAUGUUUUAAUUCCUAUCAUUUUGAGCGCUCCACCAAGAUGUAUGUGACAUGGAAGAGUAACCCAUGAUCCUAAUCGAUUGUGCAUUUGCAUCCAAAAGCACAUAUUAAAUAAUGCACAAAUUUAGGGGGAGCUCUUGCUUAUCACAUACUUCUCAAAGCGACGAUGUAUUUUAAAUCUUAUUAUCAUUUGUCGAAGCUUGAUCUAUAUGUUGUCAUCAAUUACCAAAAAGGGGGAGAUUCAAAGUGCAACUAUACCUGGGUGGUUUUGGUAAUUACUAACAACAUAUAGCUCAUUGAACUAAUGCUAUUCAAAGAUGAUCAUUUCAGAAAGUUCAAUGAUUGGCAUGGCAUGGAUUAGGAAUGUGGACCCCUCAAAAUGCUAAGGACACAUAUUGGCUCAAGCUCAGGACUCUACAUUUUCAUUUUAGUGAUCCAAUAUCACAUUGAGUCCAUAGGAAAAGCCAAUACUAUUAAAAGGGGACGAGGUGUUGCUUAAUGGCUUGUUUGCUCAAAAUGCUUAGUGAUAUGCUCCAAAAACCCUCAACCACUUUCUCAUAUCCACAUAUGUCCCAAACCAAAAGUCAAACUCGGCCCUACCGAUUUGAUCUAUCUGGCGCCACCGAGUUCAUUUGACAUAGCCACUGCCAGAAACCCUAGUCACUUCAGUCUCACCGAUAGGGAUCUCGGUCGCACCGAGAUGGGAUUGCAAACUCUCUGUUUCCCUUUGUAACAUUUUGGUCUAAUCGAGAUGAGCGAUCGGUCCCACCGAGUUCGUAAUGCAAACUCUCUGUUUCCCCUUCGUAACGUUUCGGUCUCACCAAAAUGAGAGAAUCGGUCCCACCGAGUUUGCCUGACCAACUCUCUGGUUAGCUUAUUACCAAAGUCGGUCCCACCGAGUUUGAGUAAUCGGUCUCACCGAGAUACGUUAUGCCCUAACCCCUAAUGAAAUUGGUCCCACCGAGUUGACAUGUCGGUCCCACCGAAAAGCCUAACAUUCACAUUUUGAACUGAAUUGGUCUGACCGAGUUUUCCGAUUCGGUCCCAUCGAGUUUGGUGAAUUGUGUGCAACGGUUAGAUUUUGUGUGGAGGCUAUAUAUACCCCUCCACCCACUCUUCAUUCGUGGAGAAAGCCAUCAGAACAUACCUACACUUCCAGCAUACAUUUUCUGAGAGAGAACCACCUACUCAUGUGUUGAGACCAAGAUAUUCAAUUCCAACCACAAGAAUCUUGAUCUCUAGCCUUCCCCAAGCUGCUUUCCACUCAAAUCAUCUUUCCACCAAAUCCAAAUCUGUGAGAGAGAGUUGAGUGUUGGGGAGACUAUCAUUUAAAGCACAAGAGCAAGGAGUUCAUCAUCAACACACCAUCUAUUACAUUUUGGAGAGUGGUGUCUCCUAGAUUGGUUAGGUGUCACUUGGGAGCCUCCGUCAAGAUUGUGGAGUUGAACCAAGGAGUUUGUACGGGCAAGGAGAUCGCCUACUUCGUGAAGAUCUACCCUAGUAAGGCAAGUCCUUCGUGGGCAAUGGCCAUGGUGGGAUAGACAAGGUUGCUUCUUCGUGGACCCUUCGUGGGUGGAGCCCUCCGUGGACUCGCGCAACCGUUACCCUUCGUGCGUUGAAGUCUCCAUCAACGUGGAUGUACGAUAGCACCACCUAUCGGAACCACGAAAAAAAUCUCCGCAUCUACAUUGCGUUUGCUCCCUCCAAACUCCUCCCUUUACCUUCAUGUGCAAUGUUUUACAUUCCGUUGCUAUACUCUUAGACUUGCAUGUGUAUGUUGAUUGCUUGACUUGUGCUAAGUUGCUAAAAUCUGCGAAGACUUAAAAUUGGGAAAAUGAUAGAUUUUUAUUUGGUCAAGUAGUCUAAUCACCCCCCCCCCUCUAGACAUACUUUCGAUCCUACGCGCGUCAUUAACAAUGAAACUCCGGUAGAAAUACUUCUUCACACUAAACCAGAUUAUAAGUCUCUCCGUGUUUUUGGGUGUGCAUGUUGGCCCAACCUUCGUCCCUACAACAAUCGCAAACUCAUGUUUUGCUCAAAACAGUGUGUUUUCCUAGGGUAUAGUGCCCAGCAUAAAGGGGUCAAGUGCUUAGAUGUCUCUACUGGCCGUGUCUACAUCUCACGUGAUGUGGUCUUUGAUGAAACAAAAUUUUCGUUCGCUGACCUCCAUCCCAAUGCUGGUGCACUCCUUCGCAAAGAAAUCCUGCUUUUGCCUCCUCAUCUCACUAGUUUUGAUCAAGGGGGACUUAAUAUUGAUGACUUAUUGACUAACCCAUCUAAUGAUGUGCAUGAUUUUUGUGUUGAUGAAACAGAAGAAAUCCAUGCGAAAACUGCAGAAAAUGCGGCUGAAAAUGAGCCAUAUCCAUAUUAUAUGUGCUUCACCGGGGGAGACAGAUCGUCCUCGGGAUCCGCCCGGCUGCAGCGGAUCGAAUCCGACUCGGGAUCGGCCCCUGCUCACGAGGCAGGUGCAGGCGCCUCGGGAUCGUCUCCUACUGACGGGGCAGGUGCAGGCGCGGGCGUGUGCGUCGCGCCUUCCCCAGACCCACGUGCCAGUCCCGUGGGGGACACGCGCGCUCGGGCGGUCGAGGCCCCGCACCAGUCGCCAUCCACCUACGGUAUGAGGUACGCCACCCACCCGGUGACGUACACGCGGCGUGAUGGCUCGCGACGCACGGAGGGUCCGACCGGUGUUGCGACCCAGGUGGAUGCGCCAUCAUCACGUAAUGAUGAGCUGCAUGCACAUGCACACGCACCAGGAUCCUCUGCGGCCAUUCCAGGUGCUCUACUUCAACAAUCAGCCGCAGAAAAUCCACCAGAAUCUUCAUUGGGAUCUGAUGUGGCCACAAAUGAGCAGUCUGCAGGAUCCUCUGUGGCUACUGAUCCGGCUGUUUCACAACAGCGACGCACACGGCUGCAACAAGGGGUAAUUCAACCUAUUAAUUACAAGCAUAUGACCAAGGAUGGUAUGGUUUGUUCCAUAGGUGAACCAGAUGAGCCUAACAGCCUUGAAGCAGCACUGUGUGAUGAGAAGUGGAAGAAAGCUAUGCAUGAAGAAUACAUGGCAUUGAAGAGAAACAAAACAUGGCACUUGAUUCCCCCACAGCAAGGUAAAAAUUUGAUUGAUUGCAAGUGGGUUUUCAGGAUUAAGAGGAAAGCUGAUGGAACCAUUGAUCGUUAUAAGGCUAGACUUGUUGCAAAAGGCUUCAAACAGAGAUAUGUCAUAGACUACGAGGACACCUUUAGUCCAGUGGUAAAGGCGGCCACUAUUCAUCUUGUCAUGUCUAUUGCUGUUUCUAGAGGAUGGAGUCUCAAACAGCUCGAUGUUCAGAACGCGUUCCUCCAUGGUGUUCUGGAAGAGGAAGUGUACAUGAAACAACCUCCUGGGUUUGAGAGUAAGAAUGCUCCUUCUUAUGUGUGCAAGCUUGAUAAAGCGUUAUAUAUAUAUGGGUUAAAGCAAGCUCCAAGGGCAUGGUAUGCUCGCCUCUGUCACAAAAUGCAAGCACUCAGUUUUGUUCCUUCUAAGUCUGACACAUCAUUGUUCAUCUACAACAAGUCCAACACAUGCAUAUUUGUUCUUAUAUAUGUUGACGAUAUUAUUGUGACCAGUUCAUCUGAUGAAGCGAUCACAGGACUUCUUAAGGAUUUGAGUGCAGACUUUGCUCUAAAGGAUCUUGGUGACUUGCAUUACUUUCUUGGGAUUGAGGUGAAGAAGCACAAGGAUGGACUUCUCCUCUCUCAAGAAAAGUAUGCAACUGACUUGGUUAAAAAGGCUGGAUUACAAGGAUGUAAACCCUCACUUACUCCGUUAUCUAGCUCGGAAAGAUUAUCCCUUGCAAAAGGCGAGCCCUUGAAUCAAGAGGACAGCACCAAAUACAGAAGUCUGGUAGGAGCUCUUCAGUAUCUCACACUUACCAAGCCUGAUAUUUCCUUUGCUGUUAACAAAGUCUGCCAGUUUCUCCAUGCACCCACCAAUGUUCAUUUGACAGCUGCAAAACGUAUAGUUCGAUAUGUGAAGCACACUCUGAACUUAGGACUGAACUUCAGCAAAUCACCGUUUACUUUUGUCAGUGCAUUUUCUAACUCUGAUUGGGCAGGUUGUCUUGAUGACAGACGCUCCACUGGUGGUUUUGCAGUAUUUUUUGGACCCAAUUUGGUAUCAUGGUGUGCACGUAAACAGGCUACUGUAUCCAGGUCAAGCACAGAGGCAGAAUACAAGGCAUUGGCAAAUGCCACAGCUGAGAUAAUAUGGGUUCAGUCCAUGCUGAAGGAACUUGGCAUACAAAGUAAGCAGGCUCCUUGCUUAUGGUGUGACAACCUUGGUGCUACGUAUCUCUCUGCAAAUCCGGUGUUCCAUGCCAGGACAAAACACAUAGAGAUAGAUUUUCAUUUUGUCAGAGAAAAAGUUGCUCAGAAGCAACUUGACAUUCGCUUUGUGCAUUCCAAAGAUCAACUUGCAGAUGGAUUCACAAAGCCUUUGCCUACAAGAAGUUUUGAAGACUUCAAGCAUAAUCUCAACUUGAUGAAGUUGUGAUUAAGGGAGGGUGUUAAACAUCAAUAUUGAGCCUGUACGUGUUAAGCAUCCUUGGGCGUGUCAUUGGGCGCAUUGUAACGUAUCUUAGCAGGAGUCCUUCGGUUGUAGGCUAGGAGGUUUAUCUUCUGUAACCAUAACCCUAUCUCUUCCUAGCUUGAUCUCCAAGUUGUAACCUCUCUUGUAAGAUCUCAACUGUAUGCGUUAUCAGGGACUCGCGCCCCUGCCUAUAACAUGCACGGCGUCCCCUCUCGAUGAGGUAAGACGUUUUCCGCUUCGCACAAUACCUCAUAUCUUUUGGACCUGGUACUCUUCAAAUUUUGUAACAUACUGAGAAUAUGUGUUUGUCAGCCCGGCCCGCAAGAACAAUGUGAACUUUGGCAUUAAAUUCACCAUUGCCGCCGCUUAUCAGUACAUCUUUUACAGCAUCGCGUAACCGCCUGCCGGCCAUUGUUGUGAAUUCUAUACUAAAACAUAACAACAAAAAUUAGCGGGGUGAUGGUGCUUAUAGUUUCUGAGCAUAUGCUUGCUAGCUCUGUAACCCAAGCAAUUGCCCCCACCUAAGUCCUGCCCGGCAAAGUCUUCUUUUCGUUACAAGGAAAUAUAUAGCGUGCUCGUUAACAUGGGCAAUGUCUUCUUUUUGUCAUGUUGUGGACUUGUGAUCCACUGAGUAGUUUCUCAUAAUUACUACAGUAUAUACUAUUUUUGCUGACAGUUACAUUAAGAUACAAACCAUUUUAUGUACCAAACACCUGUCUUUGCUGGCUGCUGCCUUGAGCCAUUGUUCAAGUGGGCUACUUUUUCUUGCCUAGCAAAGCAAAGUGAGAUAAUGAUGCAGACAUGCAUGUUGCUGUUGUUGUUGAGAAAGAACUGGGUAACGUAAGAAUGGCAUGUCGUAGCACAUCUUGGUAGAUAGAAAAAAAUGGUAUGCACUUCUAACUGUACAGACAUCCUAGGAUUGACGAAUUGGAAUAUACCUCCAGGAACACACAAGAUAACCAGCUGACCGAUUCUCAUGAUCUGAAUGGGAAGUAUCACAGGCUGCAAAAGAUAACAGAAGUGAACACAAGACCAGGAAACGAAAAAUGUGUUGAUUCAGUAAACUGGUCUCUAGUUGAGAUCUUGGUUCUGAUUUGCAUAUUGUGGAGCUUGCACACAACAGGUGACGACUCAUUUGAUCCCAUCACCUCUCCAUAUAUAGUGGCUACGCAUUAAGUUCUAAAACUAAAAAACUCUCAUGGGAAAAAAAUCAAGUUCAUUACAGAAAAAUUAAGGAAUGUAAAAUUUGUUAGAGUUAUAAUAUAAGUCAUGUACCCCUUUGUAUUUAUCCCGUUGUAUAAGGGGUUCCCUGCAUAUGUUCCACACCUGUACAUGUAUAUAUAUCGGCCUAUAGCCUCAUGGGAAUACAAGUUGCUUAUUCCUAACAUGGUAUUAGAGCUAGGUCAAUUUUUUGCACGCUGCAACUCGUGCUAUUGAUCCGUCUCUCCUCCCUGAUCGAAGGCGCCGGCCUCGAUCUCCCGGAGUCUCCCGAUCUGAUCGAUCGAGUCCGGCUCGUCUUACUCCCGCUCAAAGCUGCUCCCGCUCGAAAGCCCUGAUCUCCCGAUCAGGAUCGAAGCGAUCUCCUGGAGUCUCCCGAUCGGUUCGAUCGAGUCCGGCUUGCACUACUCCCGAUCGAAGCUGCUCCCGCUCGAAGCCCCAACCGGCCUCGCUCCCUGGCCCGAUCGUCCUAGUCCCGCUCGCAGUUGCCGUCUCGAUCCUAGCUGAUCGCUUGCCUGCCGCUCCCGGAUCCCGUCCCGAUUGGAAGCUCUCUCGUCAGAUUCUGCUAAAAAAAAUGUCUGCUGCAUCGGGCUAUGUUGCUGUCCCUCGCUGUCCGGUGAUCUUUGAUGGUACUAAUUACACCGAGUUCACUGGCUUUAUGCGCAUUCACAUGCGUGGCAUCCGUCUCUGGGGUGUUCUUUCUGGCGAGGUCUGCUGUCCGUCACGUCCGGUUCCUCCGGUUGCCCCUACUCCGCCGACUCCACUGGUUCUUCCUACGGAUGCUAAUCAGGCCGCCAAGGAUGCGGCCAAGCUUGCUGAUGAGGCUGCUGAUCGUGCUUAUGAUGAGAGGGUUUUGGCUUAUGAGGAGGCUCUUCAGACGUAUCAUGGUGCUCUGUCUGUUUACACCCAGUGGCUUGAUGAUGAUGCUCGUGCUGCAGUUGUUCUCACUGCUAGUGUUCUGCCUCAGUUUGCUUCUGAGUUUCUGGGUCUUCCUACUGUCUUUCAGAUGUGGACCUGUCUUCGUCAGCGCUAUGAGCCCUCUGGUGAUGCCUUAUACCUUUCUGUGGUUCGUCAGGAGCAUGCUCUUCAGCAGGGUGACUCUACUGUUGAUGACUUCUAUGCACAGAGUUCUGCUAUUUGGCUCCAGCUUGAUUCUCUCUGCAGUGCUGGUUGUCGUACUUGUCCCUGUUGCCAGGCUGUCCAGGCCAAUUUGGAGUUUCAUCGCGUCUACGAGUUCCUGUCUCGGCUCCGUAAGGAGUUUGAGCCCCGGCGUGCUCAGUUGUUUGCUCGUGGCCGUAUUUCUCUCAUGGAGGCGCUUUCAGAGAUUCGUGCUGAGGAGACUCGCUUACGUGGUGCUGGUUUGCUGGAGGUUCCCUCUGUGCUCACUACUCGGGCUUCUUCCACUCCACCUGCUGCACCGACCCCUUCUCGCUCGAGUGCUCCGCCGCUCUUGCCCACUCCUUCUGGAGGCUCAGGUCGCCCCCGUCCACAUUGUGACUACUGCAACAAUGAUGGUCAUAUUGAGUCCCAGUGCUACACAAAGCGGAAACACCUACGCAAGGCGCGAUCAUCAUCCUCAGGGACUUCGUCAUCUCCCUCGACAGCUUCAGCCAUUGCUUUGACUGAGCAGGAUAUUCUGAGACUUAAGCGUAUGCUCGCGGCUUCAGGUUCUUCCUCGACGGGUACUGCUGGUUCUGUGACUGAUGCUUCCCGCACUGAGCAACCGCCCUCUACACAGUCAGGUACAUCCCCAUGGGUUCUGGACUCUGGAGCUUCUUUUCAUAUGUCUUCUCAUUCUUCCACUUUGUCCUCUCUUCGAUCGCUGGAUUCUCCUGUUCAUGUCUUCACUGCUGAUGGUACUCCACUUUCUGUUGCUAGUAGAGGCAAUCUUUCCACUCCUUCUUAUUCUGUUCCUGAUGUUGCUCAUGUUCCUCGACUUACCAUGAAUCUGUUUUCUGCUGGUCAACUUACUGAUUCUGGUUGUCGUGUCAUCCUUGACGUUGACUCUUGUUCUGUCCAGGACCGUCACACGCACACUCUGGUUGGGGCUGGCCCUCGCCGCCGUGAUUCUCAGGGUCUUUGGGAGUUGGACUGGCUUCAUGUUCCUUCCGCUGCCACCACCAUCGCCAGUUCCUUCGCUUCUGUCGCCUCCGUUACUGGUUCCUUCAAGCAGUGGCAUCAUCGACUUGGUCAUCUGUGUGGUUCUUGGUUGUCGUCUUUAGUUCGUCGAGGUCUUCUGGGGUCUGUCUCAGGAGAUGUCUCUUUAGAGUGUCAGGGUUGUCGUCUUGGCAAGUAGAUUCAGUUACCAUAUUCACAUAGUGAGUCAGUGUCUAAGCGUCCUUUCGAUUUAGUCCAUUCUGAUGUAUGGGGUCCGGCUCCUUUCGCUUCGAAAGGUGGUCAUAAAUACUAUAUUAUUUUCAUAGAUGAUUUCUCUCGUUACACAUGGCUUUAUUUCAUGACUUCUCGUAGUGAGGUGUUGUCUAUUUAUAAGCGUUUUGCUGUCAUCGUUCAUACUCAGUUCUCUUCACCCAUUCGUGUUUUUCGUGCUGACUCCGCUGGCGAGUAUAUCUCUAAGAUGUUGCGUGGUGUUCUUGCUUAGCAAGGGACUCUCUCUCAAUUCUCUUGUCCUGGUGCUCAUGCUCAGAAUGGUGUGGCUGAGCGAAAGCAUCGACGUCUUCUUAAGACGGCUCGUGCAUUGAUGAUUGCUGCCUCUCUCCCGCCUCAUUUUUGGGCCGAGGCCGUCUCCACCUCCACCUAUCUUAUCAAUAUACAGCCUUCCGCUGCUCUACAGGGUGGUGUUCCUUUCGAGCGUCUUUUUGAUCGUUCUCCCGAUUAUUCGAUGCUUCGCUUGUUUGGUUGUGUUUGCUAUGUUCUUCUUGCCCCUCGCGAACGCACCAAACUGACCGCUCAGUCUGUUGAGUGUGUCUUCUUAGGCUACAGUGAUGAACAUAAGGGCUAUCGUUGUUGGGAUCCUAUCGGUCGUCGGAUGCGUAUCUCUCGAGACGUGACUUUUGAUGAGUCUCGUCCCUUCUACCCACGCCCAUCUUCCUCGAUUUUUUCAGUGGAGGAUAUCUCUUUCCUCACUUUUCCUGACUCACCUAUCACCCUCGUCGCGCCUGUGCCUAUUCGUUCCACUCCCUCUGCUUCUCCACCUCUAGUCGAUUUGCAGCCACCAUCUUCUCCGGUCUCCUCGCCUAGCAUGUCACCGGAUUCUACACCUUCAUCUCCGGUGACUUCUUCGUCGCCACCCCCCGAUUCUACCUUGGCGAUUCCUCCUUCUAUUGUUCCAUCUUUUCCUCAGCAUUACACUCGUCGUUCACGACCUGUGGAUGCCUCAUUGGAUGAGUCGUCCUCUUCCUCUCAGCCUACUUAUGGCUUGCGUUCUCGCCCUCGUCCGCCUGUUGAUCGCUUUGGAUUUCCCACCGCUGGUGCUGCUGUUCUUGAGCCGACUUCUUAUCGUUAGGCUGUUGUUCAUCCUGAAUGGCAGUUUGCGAUGGCAGAGGAGAUUGCUGCUCUUGAACGCACUGGUACCUGGGAUCUUGUUUCUCUUCCUCCCGAAGUCCGUCCCAUCACUUGUAAGUGGGUCUACAAGGUUAAGACUCGCUCUGAUGGUUCUCUUGAGCGUCACAAAGCUCGUCUUCCGGCUCGUGGUUUUCAGCAGGAGCAUGAUCGUGAUUAUGACGAGACUUUUGCUCCUGUGGCCCAUAUGACCACUGUUCGUACACUUCUUACUGUUGCCUCUACACGUCACUGGUCUAUAUCUCAGCUUGAUGUUAAGAAUGUCUUUCUUAAUGGUGAGCUGCGUGAGGUGUACAUGCAGCCAUCACCUGGGUAUUCUGUUCCUGAUGGCAUGGUAUGUCGUCUUCGUCGCUCUCUCUAUGGCCUUAAGCAAGCCCCUCGCGCCUGGUUUGAGCGUUUUGCCUCUGUGGUCACUACUGCUAGUUUUUCAGCAAGUGCUCAUGAUCCAGCAUUGUUUAUUCACCUUUCUCCUCGUGGUCGGACUCUUCUUCUUCUCUAUGUUGAUGACAUGAUCAUCACUGGGGAUGACCCCGAGUAUAUUGCCUUUGUAAAGGCCCGUCUUAGUGAGCAGUUUCUUAUGUCUGAUCUUGGACCUCUUCGCUACUUUCUUGGGAUUGAAGUCUCUUCUACCUCUGAUAGCUUUUUUAUAUCCCAGGAAAAGUAUAUCCAGGAUCUUCUUGCUCGUGCUGCUCUUACUGACGAGCGCAUUGUUGAGACUCCUAUGGAGCUCAAUGUUCACCUCCGUGCUACUGAUAGUGAUCCUCUCCCUGACCCGACGCGUUAUCGUCAUCUCGUUGGCAGUCUUGUCUAUCUAGCUGUCACUCGUCCGGACAUCUCUUAUCCGGUUCAUAUUCUGAGUCAGUUUGUCUCUGCUCCCACAUCGGUUCACUAUAGUCAUCUCCUUCGUGUUCUCCGAUAUCUUCGGGGCACGAUCUCUCACCGUCUAUUCUUUCCUAGCUCCAGUUCUUUACAGCUUCAGGCCUAUUCGGAUGCUACGUGGGCUAGUGAUCCUUCUGAUCGCCGUUCACUUUCUGCUUACUUUGUUUUUCUUGGCGGUUCUCUCAUUGCCUGGAAGACGAAGAAACAGAUUGCAGUUUCCCGUUCGAGUGCUGAGGCUGAGUUGCGAGCCAUGGCUCUUUUGACGGCAGAGGUGACUUGGUUACGGUGGUUACUUCAGGAUUUUGGUGUUUCUGUCACUACACCGACUCUGCUCUUAUCUGACAGUACAGGUGCUAUUAGCAUUGUGCGCGAUCCUAUGAAGCAUGAGCUCACCAAGCAUAUUGGUGUUGAUGCUUUCUAUGUGCGCGCUGGUGUGUAGGAUCAGGUUAUUGCUCUUUAGUAUGUGCCUUCCGAGUUACAGUUGGCGGAUUUCUUGACGAAGGCCCAGACUAGAGCACAACAUGGCUUUUAUCUCUCCAAACUCAGUGUUGUUCAUCCACCAUGAGUUUGAGGGGGGGUGUUAGAGUUAUAAUAUAAGUCAUGUACCCCUUUGUAUUUAUCCCGUUGUAUAAGGGAUUUCCUGCAUAUGUUCCACACCUGUACAUGUAUAUAUAUCGGCCUAUGGCCUCAUGGGAAUACAAGUUGCUUAUUCCUAACAAAAUUCACUAAUGUUACAUGGAAUUAUAUCCCAUAUACUAGCCUAUGCGGUCUGAUUUGAUGCAGCAGCAAUUAGUUAUAUUGAUGGUGCCAUUGGUGUCAGGUAUUAAGUAAAAUCACAAUUUAGACAUUCGAGAGAAAGCGAACAACUGAAAAAAGGCCGAAUUAUUCCACAUGCUUUAUUGUUUUUGUGUUACCAAAGCAUGGCAUGAGUAUGGAGGUAACUCGUCCAGAAACUGUUUUAUCAUGAGAAUAUGCACACUGCAAGUGCAAAAUCAUGUGCAUCCUACCGCUUGUAUUCGUUCCACUUGCGAAGAACGGUUAAAACUGCAUGAAAUGGGUAACGGAUGUCAAAUGCAUGAGGAAGGGUGACAACUUCAUUGACAUCCCUUGUAUAAAUACUUCCGUCAAGAUUACAUUCAGGACUUGCGAUUCACAAAUGUGAAAUCAGUCUACUGAACAGUCUGGAAUACUGGAGGAAGCCAAAAGAUGAGCAAACAUGAGUGGUGGAAAUUUCCUUUAUCUAGCUAUACUUCAAGAGAUCAUAAAGGAGGAAAAUAGUGUCUCAGUUCAUCAUGUAAGUAUGCAUGACAAAAGUGUCUCUACCAGAUGACUUAACAACACGGUUCACAUUCCGAUACAAGAUAUUACCACAUCACAGAUACUCUUGCUGCUUUUGCACCCUUGUGUUUGAAAUGCUACUCUUGCUGCUUUUGCAGCCUUCUGCUUGAAAUUGCUACUCUAGUGCCAGGCUGUGAACUGCUAUUUCCCAUUUCCCAUGAAUUAUGUCAGUCAAUCAUGCCAGAAAAUUUGCCAUCUGGUCACGUAGCCAGCACCCAAAGGCGGUAACCCUCACAUGAUGCGAACAGUGGUCAACCAUGGAUUAAUUAUAUGUCCAUACAACAUGGCAUCCAAUCUGCAUGCAUCUCAGCCUUGACAUAUACAUCCAAUAUGCAUGAUGGUACAAUCUGAACUAUAUAGUCUCUCAAAGGGGAACAAAUCAGAGUCCAAAUUUGCCCAAUCCACUGUUAACUCAGUUCUUGAGGAAUAAGGUAAAAGGAGAUGGGCUUUACCAACAGACAGUAAGUAAUGCGUGAGUGAAUCCACGACGUACAUACAGUAUCCUGAAACGGCCUGCGCUAUUGCAAAACGCUAGAUAUGUCCACAUGAUAGUAUAAUAUGAACAUGCACCCGACAGUGGAAUGUAUUUUCCCUAAUGUACACGCUAUAUAUUUGCUUGUAACAAAAGCAUAAAGAGCAGCAGUUCUCAGACAUCGUCACAAGUUGUGUAUUG